ACAACUUUAGCUCUCGUAACCCGGAACCACUGCCUUUUCCCACAACAAAAUUACACAACGUCUGAAGACUAGUCAACCUACCAAUUCCUACUGGCAUUUCCUCCAACGACUUCGUAUUUGAAUUCUUAAGAUGAUGCAAUUUGGCGAGGUUUCCCAUGUCUGCACACAACUUCUUCAGCCGAUCACAAUCUUCCAACAAAAGACUAUGCAAAUUGUAAAGCUUGUUGACUGAUUCAGGCAGAGUUCUAAUCUCAGUUGUAGACAGGUUAAGGUACCUUAAAUACCUCAAAUCACCAAUUGAAUCAGGCAGCUCAGGGAUGCAGUAUCCACGCAAAGAGAAGACCCUCAAGCGUCGGAGUUUGAGCAACUUAGGAAGAAUGCUAGGAGCCAAGAAGCCAGGCGAACUUUUUGUCAACAUUACUGGUAAAAAAGUUCUCAAAUGCUGGAUAUCAUACAAGUCCCCAAACCUUUUACCGCCAUCAAAAUAUUCAGGAAUGUAUGAUAGAUGACGAAGAUUUUCGGAAAAACUUUGCUGCUUGUAAAUUUCUGAGGUAUACUCCAUUGUGAAGUAUAUCUCCCCCGCAGCCCAACGGGCAAGGUCAUUGAUAAGAUCGUGCAUCACAAAUCGUGAUGUAUUGUUGCUUAAUUGCUGGAAAAAAGAUCUUGAACGUAGCUCUUGAAAGAACUUUCGACCUAGAACUUCGUUAGGAUUCCCACUCUCUUUAUGAACCAAGAAACCCGAAGCACUCCAUAAUAAAAUUAUCUCCUCCUCUUCAAAUUCAUAAUCCUUCGGAAACAACGAGCAGUAUGCAAAGCAUUGUUUCAAAAUUGGAGGAAGAUAAUAAUAGCUCACUGCAAGAGCUGGUAUAAUGGGACAUCUAUCUUCUGGUAAUUCCCAUAUCUUGCUACUGAGCACAUCUUCCCACACACCUCUGUCAUGUUCUCCACAUAAAAGUCCUCCCAGUGUUUUUGCUGCCAAGGGCAAGCCAUUGCAUUUGAUCACUAUCUUCUUACCAAUGUCCUCCAAUGACUUGUGUGAACUGAAAUCUCUUGUCCCCAAAGAGUGCUGAGCAAACACAGACAGACAAUCCUCAGUUGACAAGUUUUUCAAUUCAUAAGCUUGAUCCGGCCUCAUGAUUUUUGCAACCUGUUGAUUGCGAGUAGUGACAACAAUCUUACUUCCCUGUGCGCCAGCUUCAAACGGACGGCUCAUGUCAACCCAGUCAUUGUAAUUCUCAUUCCAAACGUCGUCUAAAACGAGCAAAAAUUUCUUUUGAGAUAACUUCUUCUUCAGCUCCUCUUGAAGCAAAUUUAAAUCACUGUCAUCAAUAGUCUGCUUGGUAAUGGAUCUUAGAAUUGUUUUUGUUAGCCCCUUAACGUCGAAAUCCUCAGAGACACAAGUCCAUGCCUUGAGAUCAAAAUGAUCCUGCACUCGCUUAUCAUUGUAGACAAGCUGAGCAAGAGUGGUUUUGCCCAGGCCGCCCAUACCUAUAAUAGGAAUAACAGAGAAUCCACCAUCGUUGCUUAAAUCAUCCCUCAACAGCAGUUCAACAACAUCCUUCUUUUCUGUUUCCCUGCCAUAUACUUUGGCUUCAGUCACUAAAGAGGUUGUCUCCAGCCUUUGACUGGCUUUGUUGGACCCUCCAGCUGAACUUUCUUUCAAAUCUAGCAAGUUUUUCUGUGUCACAAUUUCUUGAAAUCUGCUGUUGAUCUCUUUGAUUUUGGACAUCAAGCCAUAAUCGAACUGAAUCGAUUGUGGAGUAAAAGUGGUGCAGCAAGCAGGAAUGAGCUUCCGAAACUUACUUGUUCUGGCACGACUGCUACUGGGUUGAUCAUGAGCAGCAGCUGGUUCUCCAUUUCCAAGCAGCAACAUCCUCCGGAAAGCCUCAGUUUGAAACUCAUCCAACAAGUCUUCAACAUCAUAAGCCAAGUUCUGAAGCUUGCCAAGCCACUUCUUCACAGACCGAUUAGUUGUCUUCUUCUCCUCAGCAUCAUCAAGCACCGCCUUGAUCAUCUCCAACAUAUUCUCCCACUUCAUUAGAUAGUCUUGGAUCUUCUCUUGGCGUGCAAAAAACAGAAUCCCCUCUGAAGCUAACUUAUUGACCAGCAAAUCAACAGAUGCCGUAAGGAUUGCCUCUCCGAUGAUCGACAUUUUUUUUCUUUUUUUUGGGCAAAGGAAGAAAGGAGCAGAAUUAUGGGUUAUGGAAAGCAGAAUGAGAAUAUUGAACGGGUGAGAAAAUGGAUAAUUAAGCGGAAUGAGUUUGUGAUUGUGAAGGGUCUGGUACAGCAAGCUUAGUAGAAAUCACGCGUUUGUACUUUAUUGACCAAUGACUAAAUAAUUUGGCAAUGCACCCACCACCACCACUUGGUGAGCAAAAUGAAAAAGUUUAAUAAGUGGAGGGGUCCAGCAAAAUACGACGUAAAAUGUGGCAAGUCUCCCCACUUGUUGUUCGUUGCAGCUAAGAAAAGAAAAAACAGAGCCCACCACCCAUUAAUAAUUUAGCAAAUCACCAAUCAUCACAAAAUUCCAUUAGAUAUUCGUCGAUCAAGUAGUUAAUCCAGUGUCUGCUACGUAGAGCCUUCACUUUACAAAUCUUCAACUCAUAAACCAAGUUAAAUCAAGACGUUUCUCUCUCUGUAUAUAUUUUUUUUAACUCCUAAAACGUUUCUUUUUAGAAAUAUAUUACUUUAUUCAUCUAAUAUGUUAUCUAACAAAUAGACACAGAUGAAAUCACUCUAAAGUGAAGAUGAAAGGGGAAAAAAAAAACAUUCCAACCACCAAUAAUUUAGCAAGCGUCACUUUUAUUCCACCAAAGUGUAAAUAAAGCCAGCCCCCACCACCAUCGAUAAUUUUGCAAGCUUCACACGCUUGUUGUCUUCUCCUUGACGAACUGGACGGGGUGGACCAAGAAUCAAUGAAAGAAUUUUAAAAAUAAUAAUAAAAGAAAAACAUAAACAUUUUGGACUCAGAGUAGAACCGUAAUUAAUGCUAAAAUUUACUCCGCUAACGUUUUCAAAAUAUUGUUCUUUACAAUUGUACAGCAAAUAAGACUAAGUUUUGGACAUUUUCAUAUUCACUUACUUUCAAAAGCAGUAUUUCGAAACAUUUUACAGAAUCAAGUAACAGUUAUAUAACGAGAAAAGUGCAAAGUUGUGUAAUUCUAAUGUUUAUUUUAUCACUGACACUCAGAUCAUUUUUUAUUUGGGUCGCCAACUCGCCAAUGAACCCAUGAUUGAAUAAGUGUUUAGAAAGAAAAUCAAUAAAAAACAGUUUUUUUUUUGUCGUCGAAAUAUAGUAAGUGAGAAAGAUUAUUCUGUUUUUUUUGUUAAUUAGGUUAGUAAUUAUGAUUGAGUGACUCAGAACUAUAUUCUAGAUUGAGAAUCAAUGGUUCUCCCACACUGAGAGGCUGUAAGUUUAAGAUUGUCGUUUGCUAUUUCAUCAACAAGAGAACACUUGAAUUUAUUAAAAAGAGAAGGCCAUAAAAGUUUUCUUUUAUGAGAAAUGUAUCUGAUCAUUCCUUUUUACUUGAAAAUUUCAUAUAUAAAAACUCAUUAAUAAAUGACAGAAUAUACAUAAAUUAUUAAUUCAUUUGAUAGUUGAUUAUCGAAGGACAUGUGACCCAUGGGAGCAUGCAGACUAUAAAAUAAUUCUUUUUUUUAUUAAACAAAAAAUCGGUGAUGUUGAAAAGCAAUAUUAAUUCGACUGAUAAUUGGGGUGAACAUUCAUAAAAAGAAUGCCGUAUGAAACUAAAUUAUUAAUUCGUUUGACAUGUGACCCACAAUAAAUAGUUAAAUUUGGCGGCAACAAUAAUUACAAGACGAACUUAAAGCAGCGCAUAGGUUUUUCUUAAAAAUACAUAAACAAUUCGAUAUUUGAAAUUCUAAUAUCUCAAUAAUCUAGUUAUCCUGUAUUUAGAUCCACAUACAAUUUCUUUUUUUCUUUUUUCUGAUUUCCAAUCGUUACCAAAAGAAAAUAUUUAGUGAUCCCUUUUAUCAACUUGGUUUUAUUGACUUUCUUCCAAUCAUAGAAGUGAAAAGAGAAACAGAGGCCAGCACCAAUAAGUGUUGUGUUACCAGAUUCUGUAAAGACAAAAUCAGUGCCCAGCAAAAAGAAGCAAUGUUUUCGUUAUAUGCUGCUUCCUAUUUAGUACAUGCAUAUAAAGAUAUGCACGUGCACAUGCAGCACAUCUAUCUAAAAUUUAAAAAAAGUAAUUAGAAAUACAGGAAUUAUGGUAGAAAUAUAACAGGAAUAAGAGUGAAAUUACAAUUUUAAAAUUUGGGAGAAAUGAAAUGCGAUAUUUUUUUUAUGAAUAAAAUAAUUUAAUUUUUUUUAAUUCUACCAGCAAAAACCAUUAACUUAUCAAGUUAUUGGUUUCAUUCACAGUUAACAGUCGGUUUCUUAGUUUCAUUCCUUAAUUCUACAAGAAAAAAACAGAAUACUUGACAUUUACUAUUUGACAAUUUUUAAGAAAUGUCAAGCAUAUAUGACAUUUUGUGAAAAACUGAGUAAUUGUGAAAUAUAAAUGACAAUUUAUUUAAACGUCAAAUAAUUGUGACGUUUUAUCAAAUAAAUGAUAAAUAUAUUACAUAUUUAUUAAAUAAUUAUCAUUUACCUUUUCCUUUUAUUGACUUGAGAAAAAAACAAAAACAUUGACUAUACUGCUUUUGUUUUCGUUCUUAGAACAGAUUUUAGUUUCUUUUGAGAAAAUUCAAACUCAUUCCCAUUACUUUCUUUUCAAUAAUCACCUCUCAGUUUUUCAUCAAUCACUCAAUACCGAAUUACAUCUCCAUUCUCUUUCGAAGAAGAACGCACGAAGAAUUUUAGCUUGCUUUCGCUGCUUCUCGAAUAUUGGGUAUUGUUUCCUUUAAUUUAGAUAAUUUUUUUUUUUAUAUCUCUCUUUCUAGUUUGAUAAUUUAUGGUUAUACUUGAAUUAAUUGUAUUUUUAAUCAACCAAGGUUGAUUUAAUUGAUUCCAAGUCUCAAUUUCCUGUUCAACAAACAAGGAACGCACAAAUAAUUUUCAUUUUCAUACUCAAUUUUGAAAGAAUCAAUUUAUUUUAUCUUUGGUUAGUACACUUCUGUUCAAUUUUUGUUUAUUUAACUUAAGAUAUCUUUUUCUUUCUUUUCUUCAAGCAGAUUAUAGAUUAUAUUGAGAACAGAGCUUUCUCCUUAAUUCCGCCAAGAGCAACGUUGAUUUCAGGUGAUAAUUGAAUGUGUAAUAUUUUCAAUUGAAAUUAAUUGAGUCUCGUAAUAAUAAUAGGGAUUUGAGAUUUACAUCCUGUUGAAAUGAUUUUAGAGUGUUUUGCUAUUUGAAUGCGUAUUAAUUGUUCCUCUGUUUCAAAUCCAAAUCCACUGGUCUACUAUUCAUUAUGACAAUGCAUAUGCCGAUAUUGUCUUCCAUCCUUUGUGUACCUUUCAAUUUAGUGAGGUUUAGACAGGGGUUCCAGAUUUGGUAAAUCAACAAUCACCAGAUAUGUAGAGCGGCCGGAAGAGGAAGCAUGGUUCCUAAUCCUAAUCUUGAUUUAGAGCAGAUUAGGUAACAUGUGACAUUCUACAUUCUUGCAAUGCCAUUUCUUGUUAUGGCAGCGGCAUUCUUGGUCAUGGCAUCACAAGCAAAUGCUUUGAUUUGAAGACUUGCUUGGCUAUGAAAAAUAAGGAGAGCAAAGGUAAUUAAUCUUGGUGUGAUCAACAUUUUUAUGGGGGUACUAAGAAAAAUAAAGAUAAUAUAAGGAAUGUUGUUGAGGAGUAUUUUCAUAUUUACACAAGUAUUCAAAGUAAAAAUUGAUUUCUUAAAACCCAUUAGCUAGCGCACAUAAUAAUGGGGAGAAAAUUUUAGACUACGAAUGGUCCCGCCCAUUUAAUAAUAUUCUUCAAUCAAUUAUGUUUACUUCAAAAAAAAAAAAACCUAUCUCUUUAUUACUUUCUAACUAUUCAUAUUAAUGUGUUAAUAAUUAUGAAGAACCGGUGUAAUUUAUAUGAUGUAGGAAGCACUUUAGGCAAAAUCAUUUGAAUCUCAAAAUUUCGUGAUAUUGUGCCAAAUAUCGAAAACAGAGCUUCCUAUCACAGAAAUUAGGAAUCACUGGAGAGUAGAGUUACGUGACUGAAUAGUAUCAUAUCACAGAAACUCAAAACUCAAAAGUGCAAUAACAUUGAACAUUCAGCUGGCUAGCUUAUAUUGAUUAAUUAAUACUACUACUAGUUCUUUAUGAUUAAUUAAAAGAUAAAAUAUUUGACAAUCACGAAACAUUAUUCCAUCACUGAAGAGUAGAGCUUCCUACAUUGUUACCCAAGCUCUUUUAUAUCUCCCAAACAUUAUUAGAGUCCCACAUUUGUGGGCACAUCAUUAAGUAAAAUGUGCCAAUUAGGAAGAACUGGCUUCUUUGUUUUGUUUUCUGGGAUGUGUUGCAAUUUUCAAGUAUCAUUCAAAAUUUUACACCAUCAACACAGGAAAAUUAUAUAUAUUCUGUCAGCACUUGCAUAUGUUGCAAGUGCUGACAGAACUUUUCAUUUGAUUUGAUAAUUGGCUAAGGGUGAUUUCGAUAACGUUUCCAAAGAAGACAUAGAACAAAGAUCAAAAAGAAAAAUAAGUAAUUUGAUCAGUCGAUGCAAAAAAUGAGCGAGCUUCGUAGUCUGACUAACAGGAAAUGGCUUGGAGCAAGGAUCAAUGGACAAGUUUGAGGUUUAUGAAUAAACAGAACAGAGGAAAUAAGUGAUCAAUUUAUUACUUCGUGCAAUGGCCACAGCAACAGCGAAAAUAUGUCUACAUGACUACAUUAUCCGACUGGCAUGGUACUAUAACCGUGCAGCAUUACACUAACAUUUCCUUAUCAAUCAAUUUUGAUGGUAUGAUAUUAAAAACAUAGAUUUCAUAAUUUUAUGUAAUUCAAAGAAAAGAUAUAAUUGAUUUGAGUUAGUUUAACAUAUAAGGAAAGAGUAAUGGGGAAUGAUGUUGAUGUGGCAUGUGAUGAGUAAAGAUAGACAACAAAUAUUGAUCGUGUAAUAAUGAAAUAUGUAUUUAUUGAAAAUAAAUUGACAAUUAAAAUUAAUAGAUAUAUAUCCAAUGCAUCGAGUUUAUUUUAUCACUUCGCUAACCAUUUUGUAACUACAUGUUAAUUAGAAGUUCAAUUAAUUUUGACCAAAGACUCUAGAGAAUGUCGAAAAGAGAUUUGAUUUUUGUCUUAAAAAAAAUUAGAAAUGAAAUAAGUCAAAAUCAAUCACAAGAACAACAACAAGAGCAUAUUUUAUAAAACCACAAAUACAUAAUAUAAAUUUAGUUUCGAAUUAGAUAAUUAUUAAUUUGUAUUGUAAGAGAGUCUUAUAGAAAAAUAGGAAUUUUUUAAAAGGAGAUUUGCUUAAGGAACAACUUUAGUUAAUGGAAGGAAAUACAAGUUUGAUUUUGACAAAGUAAUCACUAAAAUAUUUGACAAGUUUGAGAUGUUAAAAAACUGGAAAAAUAGACAAAUAAUGAAAACCCUACAAGUUGGCAAAGCGAAUAAACAGAGGAAAACAGAGCAAAUAUUUACCGUUAUACAUAUAUUUUUUUAUUUUUUUCCGAAAAAGAAUGUUGCGAUAUUUUUUCCCAAAAAGAAGCACAGUUUGAUAUUACUACCAAAGAACUUUAGCUACCAUAUAUAAGCACGUGUCUAAUUACCAAAUGAAUUCCGCUAUAACAAAGAAUAAAAGCUAAUUUCAUUGAUGGCAUAUGUCGUGCUUUCUUUUCUUUUAUUUUAUUGAAGUUACUUUGUAAACUGCUCCAAGCUAAAUACAAAAUUUACUCUUACACUAGGAUCUUUGCAAUGGUCCAGCAAUUUGUAUUUCCAUUCGGUGAGGUUGGUUUUUUUCUUUAAAGUUGGGAAGUCCAUGUUUGCCAUCAAGAGUACGAUUAAAGAAGAGAUGUUACAAUACACAAAAAGGAAAAAAAAUGCCCAAGGAAGCUUGGGACACUUUUGCAAUGAUUUUUUUUCAAUGAAGAAUAACACACAACUACAACUUUUGGACAAUGAGUUACAGUCAAUUUCACAGCAAAGCAACUUCAAUAACCGCAAAAUUUUUGGGUUAGAUCCUACUGUUGCAAUUUCUGAAUCCAGAAUGAAGAGAAUUAUUAUCCAUAGCUUGGUCAUAUACAAUAUGUGUGUGCGUGUGUGUAUGUGUGUGUAUUGGGAUGUCACAGGCCCUAAAAGAUACAGCUGAACAUCAAUCCUAAAUCUAAAGUGAAAAACAGUAGCUAGAACAUAAUCUUUGUUUUGAUGUCUUUGUUUAUAAGCUCAAACAAUUGACAGUAUAGAAAAUGCAUGAUAGAACAUAGAACUCAUAUUUUAGCAAUAAUCCUAAGCUCACUGGCCCUUAGUUCAAACUGGCAGUUCUUAUUAGUCAAAGAAUCAAAUUGACUUUUAGUUGUAUAUAAGUAGAGCACUAGAUCAACAAAUAAUUGAAGACUUGCUUGGCUGUGGAACCAUAGGAAGGCAAUUCGUGAACAGCCUUGAUAUUUCAUUUGGUUUUAUUUAAUUCUUUGUAAAGUCGUAUUGUAUGUAAAAUUUUUGUUAAAUGAAAUCGGUAUGUGAAGAGAAUUUUUAAAAGCAACCAUCAAAGUCACGAUCAAAGGGACGAAAUCAGUAUAAAUAUUGAUUGUCUCAAGUUAGAUUAUACAAAGAUGAAAUAAUUCUAAUCUAGAAAAUUCGAUCAUUAUAAUUUGAUUUCCAUUAUAUUAAUUAUGUUCAAUCUUGCUAUUUUAAUGAAGAACACUCGAGGAUUUAUAUACACUCAGCUUAUGAAAUUAAUUACAAAACGAUCUUUGACCAAGUCUGAUGAAAAGAUCAUAUUAUAAGUGCAAAGUUACACUUCCCGAUCAUGCAACUAUCCAUCGAAUUGUGUAUUGUGUUAUCGUUGAGCUCUUAGGAAGAUUCAGCUGCUGAGGAGAAGAUGUAAUCUGUUUUUAUGUGACAAGCCAUGUACUCUGCUUUUAUGGUGUUUCUCUUGGUAGUUUUGGACAAAACUGUAAUGUAAAUUUCUAUCUUAAGGGAUUCCUAAUCCUUUUAGUUAGUUUGGGAUUGUUGAUUUAUCUAUGAUGUUUGGUAUCCAAAAUUCAGGUGAUGAUAAUCUUCGCAGUACUUUUGUCAAAUUUUCUUUUAUGUUGGUGUUGUUUUAAUUAAAUAUCACAAAGGUGCAAAAUGCGGUAAAAUUAACAUUGAGCUCAUGAGAUUGCCAUUAGAUAUAUUGAAAAAGAAAUUGAUACAAGAAACUGAAAAUUAGUUGUUAAUUAUGAUGGGAAUAUAAUCUUUGAAUUAUAAUUAUAUCUAUCUAACGCAUGUGCACUAAUCUUAUUUAUCUCUAUCACUGAAAAAGCAGAGUGGCCUGAUUGAAUAGUAUCAUAUUAUGUCACAGCAAUCACAAAAACUCACUCAACAUUAUGCUAAUUUAUACUAAUUAAUUAAUACGACUAACAGGAAAAGUUGGAUCUCGCCUUGCUAAAAAUCAGGUGAUUGUUUUUCAUUUUUGCGGCUACUUGACUCAAUUAUGUUAUUGCAAGAGGAGAUUUCUAUUUUGUCCGGUUUAAGCCAUAAGAUGGGUUUUAAGAUUCAUUCUGAUUGGUUAUCUGUUAGCUUUUUGUUUUAAGAACUUCUUAUUUACGAAAGCCAAAUUCUUCUUUCUAGGUUUAUUCAUAUUCAGAAGUUGCUUUUGUCAUAUCAGAAGAAGAGGCUAAGACUGUUGAAGUACUAGAAGGGACUACUGCGCUGAUUGCCUUUUUCAUGGGCUUCUAAUAUCCAAUGUUGAUUAUCUCUUCCAUUUGAACAUGAGAGUAAAAAGAUAGUUGAUAUUUAUGUUACAAAAGUUGGAAGCGACUUAAGCAAUUCAGUAUCAUGCGAGGACUAUAAUAAUAACCCCGAUUAUUUUGCCUCUUGGAUUUUUUUGUUAAUUCACUUGCUUUAUGCUUAUCCGACCUCUGAUUUUUUCUUAAUAUUUCUUUGUAGUUCACUUCACAGCACUUAUAGCCGCUGCAUUGGCAUUUUCUGCUAUUUGUUAUUGUUCAUUGAAGCUAGUUAGUUUACGAAAUUUCUUUUUGAUAAAUCUUCUUCAGAGGGUUGUGAGAGGCCAAAUCAAUUGAGAUGACCGGGUUUUCUAGAUCAGCCAUCUUUGUCGUCAACAGUGCUAAACUGUCAAUUACUGAGACACCAAACUCUAACCCGAUUCAUAUGGAUGUAGACUAAAGCUUCUUGCCGAUACCAUCCCAGUCAAAGCUGCUAUCUUUGAAAGUUUCGCAAGACAAAACAACGUUGGUUUCCCAGUCGACACAAAUACAGAUUUCAUAUGUGCAGAUUGCUCUCAAUCUCUGUUUAAUAAGCUAGUCCUCUGCUGUAUCCUAGAAGGUGGAACAAUACAUUAUGCUUCCCAGCAGGCUCCAAUGGGAUCUAUAUAUGUUUCUGCUGCCAAAUUUUUGAAAGCGAUCAUUGUGAAUAUCGCUGCCCAGUCUGAAGUGGGCUUUGAUACUUGUGACAAUACUCCAUCGAGGCUGUAAAGAAGCCGUGGGUGUACAUUUCUGGUCCAACAAUCAAUCUAACUGGCUUACUUUACAGCAACAAAGAGAUAGAAAAUAUAUUAACUGCUUGUGCAGAAUAUGGAGCAAGAGCUUAUUUAGUGUCGUGUCAAAAUAAAUAUAACAAAGUUUAAGCUGAAUAUAAAUUGUUAAUUACAGGCAGAGCAAGUUGAGUUUAAAAAAUGCGAAGCACCCAGUCCCAAAACAGAGAAGCUUGACGUUGGCCGGCAGGAUUAAUAUUAUUUUUUUUAACAACAAUCAAAGCCAGUCGGGAAUUUAUUAAGAGGUUAAUUAGUUGAAGUAUAAAAAAGGAAUUAGCAGGAUUCACGCCCGACCAAAUCCACAUGGCCAAAGCAAAGGAUUAAGUUUGAGAGAUUAUAAUGAAAUAUAAGUAAGCUUCGCACAUGCAUGCGUCUGACUGACAGAACAAAUGAAGGAAACAUAAACUUAUCAUUUUUAAGAUGUAAGCAUCAAAACAUUCGACAAGUUUGAGGUUCGUGAGAUAUUGGGAAAAUAUACAAAUAAUAAAGCCACUACAAGUUAAGCAGAGCAAAUAAACAGAGGAAAUAACUGAUCAAUUUAGUUCUUUGUGCAAUGGCCACAGCAACAGAGAAAAUAUGCCUACACGACUACAUUAAUCCUACUGGCGUGGUACUAUCACCAUGCAAAUUAACAUUAACAUUUCAUCAUCAAUCAGUUCUGAUGACAUGAUAUCAAAAACAUUGAUUUCAUAAUUUUAUGUAAUUUCAUAUAAAAGAUAUAUAUAGUUUAUUUGAGUUAGUUUAAAAUAUGAAGAAAGAGUAAUGGGGAAUGAUAUCGCUGUAGCGUGUGAUGAGUAAUGAUAGACACCAAAUAUGGAUCAUGUAAUUAUGAUAUAUGUAUUUACUGAAACAUAUUUGGCAAUAAAAUGAUGCUUUAAAAAUUUAAUAUUGUUUGCUUGAAAAUAAUUUGACAAUUAAAAGUAAAAGAUGUAUAUGCAAAACUUUGACCUUAUUUUAUCACUUCACUAACCAUUUUGUAAGUACAUCUUAAAUCGAAGUUCAAUUAAUGCUGACGAAAGACUCCAGAGAAUGUCGAGAAGAGAUUUGAUUUUGGUAUACCAAAAAAUUACAGAUGAGAUAAGUUAAAAUCAAUUACAAGAACAACAAAAAGAAUAUAUUUUAUAAAAGCCACAAAUACAUAUAAUAUAUAAUCAGUUUCGAAUUAAGUAAUUAUUAACUUAUAUAGUGAGAAAGUGUUAUAGGAAAGUUGGAAUUUUUUAAAAGAGAUUUGCAAAGGAAAAAGUUUAGUUUAGUUUAGUUUGCGAAGGCUCAAGUAAUUCAAAGCAAUUAGCAAUGCAAUUGAAGGAAAUAUAAACUUCUAAUUUUUACAAAGUAAUCGCUAAAAUAUUUGACAAGUUUGAGAUUUUCAAAAAGCUGAAAAAAAUAGACAAAUAAUGGAGACCCUACAGAUUGGUAGCGCAAAUAAACGGAGGAAAAUAUGGCAAACAUUUAUUUUUUCCAAAAAGAAUAAAAGCACGUGUCUAAUUACCAAAUAACUUCACUUUAAAAAAUAAUAAAUGCUAAUAUCAUUGUUAGCACAUGUUGUGCAUUUUUCAUUUAUUUAUUUGCUAUUACUUAUUGAAGUUACUUUGCAAACUGCUCCAAGCAAACUACAAAAUUUCUUAUCACUCUAGGAUCUUUGCAAUGGUCCUGCAAUUUGCCUUCCUUUCUAUUAGGUUAGCUGUUUAUUCAAAAGAAAAAAAAUUGGGGAAAUGGAAACCUCACCCUCUUAAUACAGAUUUUGAAUUUUAUUAUUAUUAUUCAAAAUUAGAUAACUAUGCAAAUAAUGGGCGGUUAUAACCAGUGAAACUGUGUCUAGCUACGACGCAGGUUUAAUUUUCUCUUGAUUAAAUAUAUAAACAAAACUAAAUCACCUGAGCCUCUGGUUUCACUAUUUUUCAACUUGAAAUUAAAACGCAAAAAUUGAUGGUAUUGGAGUUCGUUGUUUAGUUUUGCUGUAGGUCAUGGGGAAUCAAAUAGCCAUCCAUUUUUAAGUCUAUUUUAUGUACUAUUGGUCACUAAGUAUUGGGAUGUCAUAGGCCCUAAAAGAAAAAGCUGAAAAUCAAUCCCCUAUCUAAAGUGGAAAACAGUAGCUAGAACAGAAUCUAUGGUUUGAUGUCUUAGUGUAUAGGCUUAAACAAUUAAUAGUAUAGAAAAUGCAUGAUAGAAUUCAUAUUUUAGCAAUAAUCCUCACCUCACUGGCCGUUAGUUCAGAAUGACAAUUCUUAUUAGUCAAAGAAUCAAGAUGAUUUUUAGUUGUAUAUGAAUAGCGCAGUAGAUCAACAAAUAAUUGAAGACUUGCUUUUGCUAUUGAACCACGCGAUGGCAAUUCGAAGACUACAGCUUAGCUCUGCCAUUCGAAGUAAGCAAAUCAGCUGCCCAAAGACUGCCAAGCCAUCAAGACAAUACCAAGAUACAACAUCAAGAAUUACAUACAGGCCGUCACAUAUUACAUUUCUCCUCUGUUUUAAGAGAGAUUUACGAGCCCAUGCAGUAGAAGUAAUUAAUUAAUUUAUACAGUUCAGUACUCAUUCCUCCUCUGUUUCAAAUCCAAAUCCACUGCUCUGCCAUUUAUUAUGACGCAGGGUAUAUGGGUUAGCAAGUGUCGAUAUUGUCCUUCAUCCUUUGUGUACCUUUCUUCUAACAAGGGACAGCACGAGAUCUCUAAUCACAAAAGAGAGGCAGGCAGGCCGUUCGCUGGAAAGUACUUGAGCUUGGGACAAUUACAGAGUUUCAAUGAAAUGAGGUUUUGAUGAUCAACAAUUGAAGAAGACAGGCGUUCCAAAUUUGGUAAAUCAACAAUCACCAAAUAUGCUAGAGUGGCAGGAAGAGGAAGCGUGGCUCCUAAUCCUAAUCUUGAUUUAGUAUUGCGUAUGUAACAUGUGGCAUUCUACAUUCUUGCAAUGCCAUUUCUUGUUAUGGCAGUAGCGUUCUUUCACCAUGGCAUCGCAAGCAAAUAUUUGACUUGAAGACUUGCUUUGCCAAGAAAAAUAAGGAGAGCAAAGGUAAUUGAUUUUGGUGUGAUGAAUAUUUUUAUGGGUGUUCUAAGAAAAAUAAAGAUAAUAGAAGUAAUGUUAUCGAGGAGUAUUUUGAUAUUUACAAAAGUGUUCAAAGAAAAAAGUGAUUUUUUGAAAUCUAUUUGCUGGUGAACAUAAUAAAAUGGCAUUCCGACUUCUGCGUAAAUUUAAAACUACAAAUAGUUUUACUCUUUUAAUAAUAUUCUUCAAUUAAUUCUGUUUCUUUCACAAUAAAAAAUCCAUCUCUUUAUUACUUUCUAACUAGUCAUACUAAUGUGUUAAUAAUGAAGAACCAGCGUAAUUUAUAUGAUAUAAGAAGCCCUUUAGCACAUUAACCCGAAUUUAGCUAAUGCAUGUGCCUAAUAUAGCGAAAUCAACAUUCGGCUCAUUAGAAUGCCAUUAUAUAUACUGAAAAAGAAAUUAAUACAAAAAAAAACUGAAUAUUAAUUGACACUGGAUCAUGUUGGAUUGUUAGUUGUUAAUUAUGAUGGGAAUACAAUUUUCAUCUUUUGAUUAUCCGCUAACUAAUGCAUGUGCACUUUCAUUUGUGUCUAUAUAUACAAAAACUUGUAUCCCAUGGUUUACAUAUGUAUGAAGAUAAUGUAAUAAAGUGCUUUUGAUAAAUUCCCCUGGUCUGUUUACUUCACUAAUUCAUUAAUGUGCAAGUCCUCUAUAGAGCUGUGUUGUGCGUACAAGUUUUGCUACAUGAAAUCGUUAGGUGAGGAGAAUUUUUAAAAGCAUACAUCAAAGUAAUGAUUAAAGGGACAAAAUCAACAUAAAUAUUGAUUAUCUUGAGUUAGAUUACACAAAGAUGAUAAUGUAGUAAAUUUAUCAUAAUACACUACUAAAAAAUGCAUUUUAAUGACACAAAUUUUAUGACAUACAUCUUUAUGUCAUGAAAAUACUUGCAUGAUGUAUAAUGCUUCUGUGAUUAUUUGAUGAUAAAUUCAUAAUUGAUGCAGAUACAAAAUGAAGUGAUGAUAGGUAAAUAUCAUGUGAUUUUUUUUAUGGGUAAGAAUAUUUGAACCCACCAAAUUACUCUUUAAACUUACUUUUUUAUUGAUAAUUUUAUUACAAAAUUACUGANNNNNNNNNNNNNNNNNNNNNNNNNNNNNNNNNNNNNNNNNNNNNNNNNNNNNNNNNNNNNNNNNNNNNNNNNNNNNNNNNNNNNNNNNNNNNNNNNNNNNNNNNNNNNNNNNNNNNNNNNNCCGCAAAACUCAAUCAAAGUAUGCUUAUUUUCUUCUUCUGCACAAGUGUAGCAAAGUUUUUAAUAAGUUCCUCCUUCAUCCACAGUUGAGAACUUUCUAACUUUUGUUUCUUGUUCUAGUAAUUUGGAUAUGCUGUGUUAGAUACUGAAUUUAUUAAAUUUCUUCUUCUCUUUUGAAUAAAAUCUCUUUAAAAUUCAAUCCAUAAAAAAAAAAUUAAUCUCCUUAUAAUUUAAUAUGUUUCGGCUGUCUUAGUGGAAUGAUGCAAUUUGUGUCAAUCAAAGUUUUGAAGCAUCCUAAAUUAUAUAUUUUUUUGUUUAAUUUGUUUAGAGUUCAAUUGUUUAGAUCUAGGCUAAUUUUUAUUGAUAAUAUUUAUGAUUAAAUUAUAUGAGUAUGCUUAAAUUUUUUUUUCCUUCAAAUUUAUUUUCUGAUGUUGCAUUUGGUUAGCAAAAAGAUAAAAAUAGUAGAAAAUGUCCGAAUUAUUGUUAUGAAAAUGUUGUUUUAGUCUGAUAUUGGGAAAAUAUCCUUAUACAUAUCGGCAUGAUAUUCAUGGGAGACCAAAUUGAGAAUGAUGGCAGACUAUGCAUUGCUCACAACUAAUUUAAAACUCACUAUUUCUAUUGUUUGUGUUUUAGUAACUUUGGGGGAAUUCCAACUAUAGUUAAUAAGCUAUAAACUUGUUUAGGAUUACUAAUCAACUUGCUAGAAAGAGUUGCAAACUAAUUAGCUUUCUCUUAUAACUUUUACAGAUCAUCUGUGGAGGAGAACUGCAAGGAGUUGAAGACUCUAGACCCUAAACUUCAUAUCUUGAUUUAUAAGUGCAAUGGCCAUAAGUCCGAAUUAUGGGCUGGAGAUGGUAUAUGUAAUCUUUCUGCUCUUGGUGUUUUUUUUUUUUUCCCCUCUAGUUAUUUUUUGCUCUCUACUCCAUUGUAUAUUUGUAUUCAAAAGUAUUUUUUUCUUUGUUUUAAGCUUUCAAAUUUAUGGAGAUGAUCUUAUUAGGUGUUAAAAAAAUAGUUGUAGAGCUUUACUAAAACUAUGUAAACUCUUAUUGAGAUUUGGGUUUGAUUUUGUAAGAUUGCUAAAAAUUUCAUAUUUUAUACUUGUUUUAUACUUUUCUAGUCGAAUUUCUUGCUUGUGGAAGAUAAAAUAAAAGUCCAAUUCAUGUUGUAAAAUUUUUUUUUCCUCCCUUUUUUCUUCCCUUAUAAUCUGGCUCUGGUUUUGGUGCAGUUUAUGGUUUCAAUGCAGGGAACCAAUUUCAUCAGAAUCAUCUUAAAGGAUCAAAGUGGCUUCCUUUUGUAACUGGGUAAGUCAAUGCUACUUCCUGAAUUCGAUUUGGAGUUCUUUCGGAAUAGAUUUCCUUCCCUUACAUCACUUGGCUUCUAGUUGCAUCUUCUUGGCUUUCUCCAACGGACUUUUUUAUUGGCAAAUUCGUUUGUUUCUAUUGUUUUCAAGUGCUAGUGCUGGAUUUGGAGGUAUGAAUGGUGCCUUCAUUUUUAUUUUUUUAAUUUUCUUUUGGGUGUAUAGUACUGUAAUAUACUUCUUUGUAUAGCUAGUACAAAAUAGUUCUUUAAUUUUAUUUGUCAUGAUUUAUUUCUAUUGCCUGGUGAUGACACCCAUCACGACUUAGUAGUCGUGAAUAAAUCGAAAAUCAAAUUGCACUGGUUUUUACCGGUUAUCAACAAUUGUGAUGUUUUGAGAUUAUAACAUACUUGACAACGCCGACUAGCGUUCUCUCCUAUGUGAAUUGGGACAAAAAUUAUUUUCCCAAUCACGCUUUCGUUUGAACAAUUCCACUUCAGAUAUAUAAAAUAAUGAUGAAAUUGUGUUUUAAAAUUAGUUACGAGUAAUUGGUUCAAUAUUAAUACAAAACUAUUUUAAGUAACACGUGGCAUAUUCUAAUUCCAGUGAGCUUCUAACUCAGAUUCCCAAAUCAAAAGAAACGUUUCAAUUUUCUCCAGAACGUUCUGCAAAACAUUUCUUCGAGUCUCUACGUUGUGCUAGAAUUUUCUCUCAGUUUCUUUUCCAUAGACUUCUAAAAAACUGUCCAGAUACCGAGAUAUAAUCCAAUCUAAGUGUACAUAUUGUAAGAAAAACGAUACACAGUGAGAUAACAAUUUAAAUAGUAGCUAAUUUAAACAACAAUGUAAACUAGCAAUGGGAAACAACAAAUGAAGAACUGAAGAGAAAGGAGACCAAAACAGAAAUAUAAACCCGAGGCCUGCGGACAGUUUCCUUAAACAUAUUUACCCCCUCUUGGAGUGCUUUAGGUCAGCUGGUAUCUGUUUCCCAGGAUACAACAGGCACGAAUUUUCGGCUAAGCACAGGCUAGAAAUUCUGGCGAACCACAACAACGAGCUCGAUCAGAGAAAACAGACGACGAAGAUGGAGGAAGGAAAAUAAGUGUGCUGGUUUUUUCAGUGUGCAAAAAAACAGAAGAGGAGAUGCCUUUUUAUAGUCAUAUGAGGAUGUAACAGCUACUUUGUAUUGAAUUUCUGAAUUCAAUAUAUUUUAUUUAAUUGUUAUAACAGCCAAAUCAAUUCAAUGAAUUGAUUUCAAAAUUGAAUUAAAAAAAACGUGAAUUAUAUAACAGCUAAAAAUAAUUGUUGAAGCUGUUACAAAUCCUUUGAAUUCAAACGUGAAACUGUUACAAUAAAAAAAAUUUUAAAAGGAAAUUAAAAACAUGCCAAGCUUGCAUGGAUGAUUUUGGGCUGACAUUCGCGUACGCAGACGAGUUCAACCAAAUUGGUCAUGGAUUUGCACCCCCCUGCACACGCGCACGUGGAGAGAGCCUCUAUCCUUAUAAUUCUUGAACAAGCAUGGUUAAGUGUUUAUAUAUAAACACUAAUCCCUAGGCUUCUUUUUCCCAUGUGGGAUAAGCCUAAUUUCUUUUCAAAUUUCCAACUUCAAAGGUGAACUUUGAGAGACAAUUUCUCAUUCACCCAAGCACCAUUUUGAGAAAAUAAGAUUAUACUUUUGAAGUAUCAAAGGAGUAGAAUCCGAACCUCACAAGAUUUUCCACUUUCGUUAAGUGGGACCCACUCAAAAUAUGCCCUCAAAAUAGCAUCUAUAUAUGCUAUUUUUUCAACAAUCCCCCACAUGAAUGAAAAUUGGCAGUAAAACAAAAAACCGCUAUAUUUUUUUUACAUCAAAACCAUUUUUGACCUUAAUGAUUGAGUUUAUUGGAUUGAUACCUAGCACAUGAUAGGUUGGUGUUAUCCUUUUAACCUUCCCUUGUAAUAGUAUAAUUACUUUACUGGCUGAUCAGUAGACGCGAUGUCUUUGAACUGUGCGGCCGUUAGUGUAAACGAUCAUAUACUACACAUAGGUAUUUCUCCUAACACUGUUGAGUUCUCAUGGUUAUGUUCGUUUUGGCCUUGAACAUCUACCUGGUUCUGCAAGAGUUUCUAAGAGCUAAACCCAUCAUAGCUCCCUUUGAAGCGGCCCCACUUCUCUCUCACAUAGGUGAUAUCUUAAUUAAAAGUAACCCGCAUUACUCCGCUCGAAUUUUCCGACGCAUAAGAAUCAUUAAGAGCCUAGCUCAACCUUAUUCCCCACGAGCAUCAUUGUUUCAUAAUAUGAAUGGUCAAUGAGGUAAUCUUCUCAAGAGAAUAAACCCCACAAUAAUCCAACUUUAGUCUUUAACAAAUAGGUUGUUCAAUUGAACCUAGAUCUUGGGAUCUCCAGUCUACUAGGUUGGGUUUUCCUUCGUUAUUGACUAAUCAAUCUAUGAGUUUUAAUCCCAUUCCCCUCGAUGAUUUUUCUACUAGCUCUCUAUUUAACCCUUUGGUUAGCGAAUCCGCAAUGUUAUCCUUUGACCUCACAUAGUCAAUAGAAAUAACUCCAGUAGAAAUAAGUUGUCUAAUGGUAUUAUGUCUAUGACGUAUGUGUCUAGACUUACCAUUAUACAUAUUGCUUUGUGCCCUACCGAUAGCUGAUUGACUAUCACAAUGUAUACAAAUCGAAGGCACAUGCUUUGGCCACUUUGGAAUACCUUUUAAAAAAUUGCGUAGCCAUUCUGCUUCUUCACCACAUUUAUCUAAUGCAAUGAAUUCAGAUUCCAUUGUAGAUCUAGCAAUUACUGUCUGUUUAGAAGAUCUCCAUGAUACAGCUGCACCUGCUAGUGUAAAUACAUAGCCGCUAGUGGAUUUUGAAUCUUUUACAUCUGAUAUCCAGUUAGCAUCACUAAAUCCUUCUAAUACUUCUGGAUACCUAGUAUAGUGCAGUCCAUAAUUACGAGUGUAUCGAAGAUACCUAAGUACUCUUACGAUAGCUUUCCAGUGAUCAGUUCCUGGAUUACUCGUAUAUCUACUAAGUUUACUUACCGUAUAGGCUAGAUCUGGUCUGGUACAACUUGUUAAGUACAUCGGACUGUCUAUUAUUCUAGCAUAUUCUACUUGAGAAAAACCCUCUUCUCUAUUUUUCGAUAAAUGGAUACUAGUAUCUAAUGGAGUUUUAGACAUAAUAUUAUCAUUUUUAUUAAAUUUUCCAAGAAUUUUAUCUACAUAAUGAUUUUGACUUAGAAUAAGUCCAUUAGAAGCCCUUCAGAUUUUAAUUUCCAAAAUGACAUUUGCAAGACUCAUGUCUUUCAUGUCAAACUUAGACUUCAACAUAUUCUUGGUAGAUUUAAUCAUGUCAUCAUCACUUCCAACAAUGAGCAUGUCAUCAACAUAUAAACAUAAAAUGACAUAGCCAUUUUCCGUUUCUUUGACAUAAACACAUUUGUCACACUCGUUGAUUUUAAAACCACUUGUGAUCAUCAUAUGAUCAAAUUUCUCAUGCCACUGUUUCGGUGCUUGCUGCAAGCCAUAUAAUGACUUUACCAAUUUACAAACUUUCUUUUCUUGUCCUGGAGCUAUAAAACCUUCAAGUUGCUCCAUAUAGAUUUCUUCAUCUAAAUCUCCAUUUAGAAAAGCCGUCUUUACAUCUAUUUGAUGUAUCUCGAGAUUGCGCAAAGCUGCAAUUGCUAUUAUCAUCCGUAUGGAAUUUAUUCUCAUAACAGGAGAAUAAGUAUCAAAGUAAUCAAGGCCUUCUCGUUGCCUAUUACCUUUAAUUACAAGCCUAUCCUUGUAUUUAUUGAUUUAUCCAUCAGCUUUCAUUUUCCUUUUGAAAAUUCACUUAUACCCCAAAGGUUUACAUUCUGGAGGAAGAUCUGCUAGCUCCCAAGUAUGAUUUUGUAAAAUGGAUUCAACUUCACUGUUAAUGGCUUCUUUCCAUAAAGUGCCUUCAGCUGAAGUUACAACCUCUUUGAAGCUUUGAGGUUCACUUUCUAGCAAAUACGUCAGAAAGUCUAGACCAAAAGACUUUUCUAUCCUAGCUGUUUUGCUACGUCUAACCUCAAUUUCUUGUUCUUGAUCUUCUUCUUCUUCUUCUUCUGGUGCUUCAUCAUUUUCUUCAUUUCCAAGUGUUGUUUCAUGAAAUUGUCGCAAUUCUCUCGAUUCCACUCUAGAAUUGCAAGGAAACACAUGUUCGAAUGAUGCAUUUCUUGAUUCUAUUAUCAUAUUUUUGUGGACAUCUGGAACUUUAGACUUAUGUAACAAAAAUCGAUAAGCACUACUGUUUUGUACAUAACCAAUGAAAAUGCAGUCAACAGUUUUUGGUCCUAUUUUCACUUUUUUAUUGAAGGAACCACUACUUUAGUAAGACACCCCCACACUCGUAAGAAUUUAUAUGAAGGUGAUCUAUUUUUCUAUAGCUCAUACAGGGUUUUAUCUUCUUGCUUUCAGGGUAUCUUAUUUAAUAAAUAAUUAGCUGACAAAACAGCUUCUCCCCACAUAUUCUGGGGUAACCCAGAACUUAUCAACAUUGCAUUCAUCAUUUCCUUUAAAGUUCGAUUCUUUCGUUCUGCAAUCCCAUUAGAUUGAGGUGAAUAUGGAGUCGUGACUUGAUGUAUGAUUCCAUUUUGUUCACAUAGUGACAUAAACAUAACAACAUACUCACCACCACGGUCACUCCUUAAUUCUUUGAUUUUUCUAUUAAGUUGAUUCUCAACUUCAUUUUUGUCGAGAAUAAACUUUUUCAAAGCUUUAUCUUUACUUUUCAAUAAAUAUACAUAGCAAUAUUUUGUGCAAUCAUCUAUAAAGGUAAUAAAAUAUUUAUUAUCACCUCUUGUUUGAAUGGAUUUAAAGUGACAAAUAUCAAUAUGUAUUAAAUCAAGUGGUUCGGUGUUUCUGUUAAUUAUUUGGAAAGAUGACCUAGUUAGUUUUGCCUCAACACAAGUUUCACACUUAUGUUUCAAAUCAAUUUGGAAAUUGGGAAUAUGCUUCAUGUUAAUUAAUUUACGCAAAGAUUUAAAAUUAACAUGUCCUAAUCUACCAUGCCAAAGAUUAGAAGACUCAAGCAAAUAAGCAGAAGAAGUAGCUUUAUUAUUAAUUAUUGGUUUCAGAGUCAUUACAUUGAGCUUAAAUAGCCCAUCAUUAACAUAACUCUUUCCCACAUACAUCCCAUUUUUAGACAAAACUACCCUAUCUGACUCAAACACCAUUUGGAAGCCAUGUUUGUUCAACAGCGAUCCAGACACCAAGUUCUUCUGAAUUUCUGGCACAUAAAACACAUUGUUCAGAGUCAGUUCUUUCCCAGACGUCAUCUUCAAAAUCACCUUCCCUUGACCAUCAAUCUCAGACGUAGCCGAAUUCCCCAUGAAUAGCUUCUCUCCAUUGCUAACUGCUUCAACUGAAGUGAACAAUCCUUUGUCCGAGCAAACAUGUCUGGUUGCUCCCGUAUCAAUCCAUCAUUCUCUCGGAUUAUAGCCAACCAGAUUCACUUCUGAAACCACUGUAGAGAGGUUUAUGUCUGAAACAUGUUGAGUGAUGUUUUCCAUCACAUUCUCCUCUCGCUUCUUUUUAGGCAACCUGCAAUAUGAAGCAUUGUGACCCAUCUUAUCACAAUUAAAACAUUUUCCUUGAAACUUUGUUUACUUCUUGGAAAUUCCUCCUUUCGGACCCAUUUUUUUAUUUUUAUUUUUAGGUCCAUGUUCGACAAAAUUUGCCUUUGCCAUAGAAAUAACUCCUUUUCUUUUUGCAUUUCUGUUAUCUCCCUCAAUUCUGAACUUAACAACCAGCCCUUCAAUAUUCAUCUCCUUUCAUUUGUGCUUCAAAUAGCUCUUGAAAUCUUUCUAAGCAGGAGGCAAUUUUUCAAUAAUUGCGGCAACUUGAAAAGUUUCACUUAGAUGCAUCCUUUCUGCAAGGAUUUCAGAUAAUAUAAUUUGAAGCUCUUGUACUUGACUUAUUAUAGUUUUAGAAUCCACCAUUUUAUAAUCUAGGAAGCGACCAACAACAAACUUUUUGGUUCCCGCAUCCUCGGUUUUAUAUUUCCGGUCAAAGGAUACCCAUAACUCCUUGGCUGUUUUCUUUCCUAUGUAUACAUUAUACAAGGAAUCACUAAGGCCAUUCAUUACAUAAUUUUUACAUAAAAAAUCUUAAUGAUGCCAUGCAUCAAUUGCACUUGCAACUUGAAUAUCCGUUUCACCCUCUUUAGGUUUAGGAGCAUUCUCGAUUAAGAAACUUGCAAGGUUCAACAUGGUCAAGUAAAAGAAUAUCUUUUGCUGCCAACGUUUGAAAUUCUGGCCAUUGAAUUUUUCAGGCCCUUCCGCAUGAUUGACAGGAAUUGCCACAGAGGCUGGUUCCUUUACAACAGUUGGUGCAGCAACAGAAGAUGAAACUGGGACAUACGGAAUAUCAUCAAUGGUUUCAGUUGCCAUCUCAAUGAUAAUUGAUUCUGUUUUAAGAUUGUAAAAAAAAUGAUACACAGUGAGAUAAUAAUUUAAAUAGUAGCUAAUUUAAACAACAAUGUAAACUAGCAAUGGGAAACAACAAAUGAAGAACAGAAGAGAAAGGAAACCGAAACAGAAACAGAAACAUAAACCUGAGCCCUGCAGACAGUUUCCUUAAAACAGAUUUACCACUCUUGGAGUGCUUUAGGUCAGCUGGUAUCUGUUUCCCAGAAUACAACGGGCACGAAUUUCCGGCUAAGCACAGGCUGAAAAUUCCGGCGAACCACAACAGCGAGCUCAAUCAGAGAAAACAGACGAUGAAGAUAGAGGAAGGAAAACAAGUGUGCUGGUUUUUUCAGUGUGCAAAAAACAGAAGAGGAGGUGCCUUUUUAUAGUCAUAUGAGGAUGUAACAGCUGCUUUGUAUUAGAUUUCCGAAUUCAAUAUGUUUUACUUAAUUGUUAUAACAACCAAAUCAAUUCAUUGAAUUGAUUUUAAAAUUGAAUUAAAAAAACAUGAAUUAUAUAACAGCUAAAAAUAAUUGUUGAAGCUGUUACAAAUCCUUUGAAUUCAAAACGUGAAUCUAUUACAAUAAAAAAAUUCAAAAGGAAAUUAAAAACGUGCCAAGCUUGCAUGGAUGAUUUUGGGCUGACAUUCGCGUACGCAGACGAGUUCAACCAAAUCGGUCUUGGACUUGCACCCCCCCUGCACACGCACGUGUGGAGAGAGCCUCUAUCCUUAUAAUUCUUGAACAAGCAUGGUUAAGUGUUUAUAUAUAAAUACUAAUCCCUAGGCUUCUUUUUCCCAUGUGGGAUAGGCCUCAUUUCCCUUCAAAUUUCCAACUUCAAAGGUGAACUUUGAGAGACAAUUUCUCAUUCACCCAAGCACCAUUUUGAGAAAAUAAGAUUAUACUUUUGAAGUAUCAAUGGAGUAGAAUCCGAACCUCACAAGAUUUUCCACUUUCGUUAAGUGGGACCCACUCAAAAUAUGCCCUCAAAAUAGCAUAUAUACAUGCUAUUUUCCACUUUCGUUAAGUGGGACCCACUCAAAAUGUGCCCUCAAAAUAGCAUAUAUACAUGCUAUUUUUUCAACACAUAUCUCUCUAUGUCACCUCCCUCCAUUUCACCAGAAAAUCAACAAACACUUAGCUUCAAAACAAACACUCUAAAAAAGCUAGCUAGUUGAUGGCAAAAUCAAGAAUUCUUGCAAUGGCAAUGUUGUUUCUUGUUAUGGCAGCAACAUUGAUGAACAUGGCAUCAAAGCAAAUGCUCUGAUGCUGUACACACGAUCACCUUUCUUUGACGUAAUGUUCCCAAUGACGGAAGAUCCUUUCAGGGUUCUUGGACAAACCCUGUUAACAAUCCCAAAAGGAGCUGAACAUCAUCAAACUCUAGCACUGGCGAGAGCAAACUGAAAUGAGACACCAACAUCACACGUGAUCACACUCGACAUUCCAAGGAUGAAGAAAGACGAUGCGAAGAUAGCAGUUGAAGAGAACAGGGUACUGAGGGUGAGUGGGGAGAGGAAGAGCGAUGAUUAUUAUAAGGAGGAAGUUGAAGGAGAAAAAUGGCACAGAGUUGAGAGACCAUUUGGCAAGGUUUGGAGGCAGUUCAGGAUGCCUAUGAGUGCUGACUUGGAUCAUGUUAAGGCUCAUUUGGAAAAUGGUGUUCUAAGGAUCACAGUGCCAAAACUUGUUGAGGAGAAGAAGAGGCCGCCUAAGGUUAUUAACAUUGAUGAAGAGCCUGGUAAUUCUUCCGAUGAAGAUGUUAAGGCCGCCAAGGCUCAAAUGUAAUUGAUUAAAGAAAGAAGUGUUUGAUUUGCUUGAUGUGCUAUUUGUUUUGUGAUCUUUUCUUGGUUUUGUUGUGGGAUGUUUUUCUUUGGAUGUUCUGUUUAUUGUAUUUUGAUGGAUUUUUAAAGAUGGCUUUUAUGUAUUAACAACAAUAAAGUGUUUUUUAUAAAUCCGGGUCCUAAAUUUGUAAAAGAAAUUAAUAAUACUCUUGGUUUAUUGUUAAUAAAAAUAAAAAAGAAGAAUCUUUUUCUUUAGCAUAUAUUAUGCAUUUUAAGGAAAAAAAAAAUUAUCACAUUCUAAUACAUAAAGAUAUUCCUCUUCUGUCAUAUUAAUGUGUUAAUACGAAGGUCUAUUGGAAUUAUAAUAGUUUAGAUGAAUCCAAAAUAUUCAAUAAUUGAUAAAUAGUAUAUUGACACACAGAAAAUGUGCGUGUGUAUGUAUAUAAAUGAGGUUUCAACAGCUGAGAAAGAGAUAGCCAUUAUACAUUACACAUUUGCACUCAAUAAGAAAUCAAUUCAUUAAUAUAGCCAUUAAUACGCCUGGUUUAUUGUUAAUGAAAAUUAAAAAAGAAAAAAAGUCUUUUCUUUGGCCUUUAUUAUGCAUUUUAAGAGGAAAAAAAAUUUAUCCCACUCCAAUUCAUGAAGAUAUUCUCUUUUCUGUCAUAUUGAUGUGUUAAUAUGAAGAUCCAUUGCAGUUGGUGAAUUCAAAUAUUCAGUAACUGAUGAAAUUGUAUUUAUAAAUUCAUACUAAUAGCAAUUGAAGAUUAUAAUUAAUUUUGUAAUAUGGUCUAGCCCUCCUGUGUUUAAUUAGCACUCAAAAACCACUUUACAAUAGGGCAUUAAAAGAACAUUAUAACGUCAUUGCUGAUGAGUUCUGGCGAAGACAUUAAGUUAAGGCCACAAAAAUCGAAAUGCACGUAGCUUCGUUUGUUUUUUAUUUUUGAUUCUCUUUGGGGGCAAAUGCUUGGCUUCGUUUGCUUUUUCGUUUUUGAUAUUUUAUUGGGCUUUAUUGUGUGGCAUCUUCUUGUUUUCUUUUGAUUUUCUGUUUUGGUUGUUAUGGGAUUUGAUGACGACGUACAUGUACGAAGAUUAUAUAAUAAAAUGUUUUUGAUAAAUUAUGGUCGGUUUAGAAUUAAUUAACUAAAUUUAAUUUACUUGAUCAAUUGAUAUUUGUAAGCAUUGUUGUUAUACAAACACAACAAAAGAAGAACAUUAAUGUACUAAUUAAUUACUAAUAAGAACAUUAAUAACUUUUGCCGAAGAAGAGAAAUAUUACACAUAUGUAACCGUGCAGCAUAUGUAACCGUGCAGCUAAAUAAAAGAAACUGAAGUUUAUUUCAACAGCUAAAGAAUGAGAUACGCAUAAGAAAUUAAUCCAUUAAUUAAUUAAUUAAUUCAUAGUCCCCCGCUGCUAAAAUAAAGCGAGCGUCUUACUCUACCUAACAUUUUUCCUUUUAUUAAUUUAAAAUAGUUUUCAACUGAGAUUUGAAUUUUAAAAUUACACGCUUGAUUUAGAAGAAAAAAAAGUCAAAUAUAUGUAACCGUACCGCGGAAAAGACAAAUAUAAGAAACUGAAGUUUCAACAGCUGAGAAUGAGAAAUUAAUUCAUUAAUUAAUUAAUAGAGUCCUCCUUUGCUAAAUAAUGCGAACCCAUUGUUCUUUUUAUUUCCAAAACCCAUUAAUCACCAACACAUAAUACACGCCCAAUUUAAAAAAAAAACUAAUAAUAAAAUAUUUCAGUCUUCCUUUGUUGAGUCGUCAUUAAAAACCCAUUUACCAGCUAUUCGAGCAUAAGGUAUAUGGGUUAACAAGUCCCAAUAUUGUCCUCCAUCCUUUCUGCACUUCUCUUCUAUCAACGGACAGCGAUAGAUUCUUAAUUGCAAAAGUGAGGAAGGCAGGCCCUUCUCCGGAAAGUAUUUGAGCUUGGGACAAUCAUAGAGUGUCAAUUUAGUGAGGUUUUGAAGAUCAACAAUUGAAGAAGAUAGGCUUUCCAGAUUUGGAAAAAAGGCAAUGCUCAGAGAUGUUAGAGAGGCAGGAAGAGGAAGCGUGGUCCCCAGUCUUCUGUCCUCUGGCUCUGGUGGAAAUGACACCAUGUCGUCAUCGCAUCCUCUGAUUAAAAGAUAUCGCAGAGAGGAGAAUCUGUGAAAUCCCCGGCCCCGCUCAAUCAUUGACUUCCAAAUCCCCAUAUUACCCUCAAUCCUCAGUGAAUGAAGGUUGGUGGGAAGGCCAUCUUCUUCAAGGCUUGGAAGCUCACCUCCUAUUAUUGUUAAUUGUUGAAGAGAGGUCAGAUUGUGCAAUCCCUUGGGUAAGGCCUCUAGUCUCUUACAAUCAUAUAUCUCCAGCCUCCUGAGUUUCGCACAAGGCAAUCCCCCUUUGGGAAAGGACUCCAGAUUUCCACAACCCCCAAUACCAAUCUGUUGAAGCUGGCACAGAUUAUGUAAACCACUCGAUAAAAUUUUCAGAUUUUCACAGUUAGAAAUGUUGAUUGUUUCAAGAGAUGUGUUGUUGUCCAACCUUUCUGCUAUUGACUGCAGCUUUGGACAUCCAUAAACAUCAAGUACCUUAACGGACGGAGGUAGAUUGCCAACUUCAAGGGACUCAAGCGUGGCAGGUAACUCGUUUUUUGAAAAUAUACAUGUCAGAGACGGACAACUGGAAAUUGCUAAGUUCUCAAGAAGAGAUGAGGUGUACCUUCUGCUGCUGCUACUCUGGAUGCCCUCUUCCACUGUCAAAGUCCUUAUUUUAUUGCACCUCUGGAUGUCCAACCUCUUAAGGCUCAGUGGUAGCUGGACUUCAGCAAUAUAUGUCAACGAAUGGCAAUCCCAAAUUUUCAAGAUCUCGAGAGAUGAACUAGUGUCGCACAUCCAUGGCUCUGGUAACGAUUUCAGUGCAUCACAUUCUCUAAUCUCAAUUUUCUUCAACUUGGAAGGCAGAGCAACCUCAGGAAAGGAAACAAGGGAACUGCACUUGUAGAUUUCUAUCUCUUUCAAGGAACUAAGGCUGAGAGAUGAUUGUGGCAGCUUCACAAGGCCUUCGCAAUAUCUCAAUCUUAGAUAUUCGAGUCUGCAUGACAACUCGCAGAGCUGCUGUUGUUGGUCUUUCUCUUCCUCCGCCACCAAGGAUUGAAGUUUGGGACACCCUCUUAUCUCCAGACUUUUGAGAGAGCAAAUGUCUUGUAGUAAUCCGUCAUGACUCUUCCAUAUAUAUGUUUGCUCUUUUGUCGACAAAAUUAAUUCUUCCAAUUUCGGUAGUUGUGGCUUCAACGGCCCCGCAAGAAACACUUGAUUUGAUGUAUCUCUACAAACCACUGAAUUCUGUGAUCCGAGAUGACCAGUUGCACUUUCCCACACAACCUUUUUGCAUCCACCAAUUAAGAAUUUGCAAAGAGUUGGAAGACUCAAAACUGAAACUAACAAUUCUUCACAUCCUUCAAUAACAAGCAUCUCUAAUACAGGAAGGUGUUCUGGAAAUGUUCCUCGCAGUUUAGGACAUUCUAAAAUGUGAAGCUCUCUCAAUUUAGGAAACCCUUCAACCCCUUGACCGGAUCCAUGAGAAAUCCAGACUUCCCAUUCUUGCAGGUCUUCAAAACGAAGAGUCUCCAAGCAUGGAAAUGGAAUUGGAGAGUCAUCCCCAUAGAACUCUGAACCCAAUCUCUUUACUCUACUCACUCCACGCACUGUAAGAUGCUUUAGAGAGGGCAGUUGCCCGACAGACGGCAGGGCAGUACACAUGCCGCAAUCUUCAAAUUCAAGUGUUACUAAAUUUGAGAAUAAGGAAUCUCCUAACCAUGUUGGAAAUUUUGUACCUCCAUAGCCACAGAUACCAAAUUGUUCCAGAUUUUUAUGGGGUUUGAGCAUGUCAAGCACACCCAUUUCAGUUUCUGCCUCCCUUGAAGAUGAACCAUCGGUACUGCGUGUCCAUCGAAGCAAUAAUUCUUUAAGAUUCUUCUUUCCAUCCAACCGAGCCUCCUUCGCAUUACCAACGUCUUUUACGUUCUCCAAUUUUGAAAUUUCAAGUGCCCCACGAAGAUGCAUCAACAACUUUAGCUCUGAUAACCCCGAACCACUGUCUUUUCCCACAACAAAAUUACACAACGUCUGAAGACAAGUCAACUUGCCAAUUCCUAGUGGCGUUUCCUCCAACGAAUCUGUAUUUGAAUUAUUGAGAUGAUGCAAUUUGAUGAGAUUUCCCAUGUCUGCACACAACUUCUUCAGCCGAUCACAAUCUUCCAACAAAAGACUAUGCAAAUUGUAAAGCUUGUUGACUGAUUCAGGCAGAGUUCUAAUAUUAGUUCCAGACAGGUUAAGGUACCUUCAAUACCUCAAAUCACCAACUGAAUCUGGUAGCUCGGAGAUGUGAUAUCCACGCAAAGAGAAGACCCUCAAGCGUUGGAGUUUGAGCAACUUAGGAAGAAUGCUAGGAGCCAAGUAGCCAGGCGAACUCUCUGUCAACAUUACUGGUAAAAAAGUUCUCAAAUGUUGGAUAUCAUACAAGUCCCCAAACCUUUUACCGCCAACAUAAUAUUCAGGAAUAUAUGACAGAUGACGAAGAUAUCGGGAAAAACUUUGUUGCUUGUUAACCUCAGAGGUAUACUCCAUUGUGAAGUAUAUUUCCCCUGCAGCCCAAUGCGCAAGGUCGUUGAUAAGAUCGUGCAUCACAAAUCGUGAUGCAUCGUUGCUUGAUUGCUGGAAAAAGGAUCUUGAAUGUAGCUCCUUAAAGAUUUCAAGACCUAAAUCUUCACCAGUUUUCUCACGCUCUUUGCGAUCCAAGAAGCCCGAGGCACACCAUAACAAAAUUAUCUCCCCCUCUUCAAAUUCAUAAUCCUUUGGAAACAAUGAGCAAUACGCAAAGCAUUGUUUCAAAGGUGCCGAAAGAUAAUAGUAGCUCACUCUAAGCGCCGGCAUAAUGUCACAUCUCUCUUCUUGCAAUUCCCAUAUCUUGGUACUGAGCACUCUCUCCCAAUCACAUCUGUCAUCUUUUCCUCGCAAAAGUCCUCCAAGUGUUUGCGCUGCCAAGGGCAAGCCAUCGCAUUUGGCCACUAUCUUCUUGCCAAUUUCCUCCAAUAAGUUAUCUGACCCCAAAGAAUGUUGAGCAAAUACAGCUAGACAAUCAUCAAUUGACAACUUUUUUAAUUGAUAAGCUGAGGCAGUUCCCAUGAUGUCUGCAACCUCUUGAUUACGAGUUGUGACAAUAAUCUUACUUCCCUUCGCUCCAGCUUCAAACGGACGGCUGAGGCGAACCCAAUCAUUGUAAUUCUCAUUCCAAACGUCGUCUAAAACAAGCAAAAAUUUCUUUUGAGAUAACUUCUUCUUCAGCUCCUCUUGAAGCAAAUUUAAAUCACUGUCAUCAAUAGUCUGCUUGGUAACGGAUCUUAGAAUUGUUUUUGUUAGCCCCUUAACGUCGAAAUCCUCAGAGACACAAGUCCAUGCCUUGAGAUCAAAAUGAUCCCGCACUUGCUUAUCAUUGUAGACAAGCUGAGCAAGAGUAGUUUUGCCCAGCCCGCCCAUACCUAUAAUAGGAAUAACUGCGAAUCCACCAUCGUUGCUUAAAUCAUCCCUCAACAGCAGUUCAACAACAUCCUUCUUUUCUGUUUCCCUGCCAUAUACUUUGGCUUCAGUCACUAAAGAGGUUGUCUCUAGCCUUUGACUGGCUUUUUUGGACCCUCCAGCUGAACUUUCUUUCAAAUCUAGCAAGUUUUUCUGUGUCACAAUUUCUUGAAAUCUGCUGUUGAUCUCUUUGAUUUUGGACAUCAAGCCAUAAUCGAACUGAAUCGAUUGUGGAGUAAAAGUGGUGCAGCAAGUAGGAAUGAGCUUCCGAAACUUACUUGUUCUUGUACGACUGCUACUGGGUUGAUCAUGAGCAGCAGCUGGUUCUCCAUUCCCAAGCAGCAACCUCCUCCGGAAAGCCUCAGUUUGAAACUCAUCCAACAAGUCUUCAACAUCGUAAGCCAAGUUCUGAAGCUUGCCAAGCCACUUCUUCACAAACUGAUUAGUCGUCUUCUUCUCCUCAGCAUCAUCAAGCACCGCCUUGAUCAUCUCCAACAUAUUCUCCCACUUCAUUAGAUCGUCUUGGAUCUUCUCUUGGCGUGCAAAAAACAGAAUCCCCUCUGAAGCUAACUUAUUGACCAGCAAAUCAACGGACGCCGUAAGGAUUGCCUCUCCGAUGAUCGACAUUUUUUUUUCUUUUUUUGGGCAAAGGAAGAAAGGAGCAGAAUUAUGGGUUAUGGAAAGCAGAAUGAGAAUAUUGAACGGGUGAGAAAAUGGAUAAUUAAGCGGAAUGAGUUUGUGAUUGUGAAGGGUCUGGUUCAGCAAGCUUAGUAGAAAUCACGCGUUUGUACUUUAUUGACCAAUGACUAAAUAAUUUGGCAAUGCACCCACCACCACCAGUUGGCGAGCAAAAUGAAAAAGUUUAAUAAGUGCAGGGGUCGAGCAAAAUACGACGUAAAAUGUGGCAAGUCUCCCCACUUGUUGUUCCUUGCAGCUAAGAAAAGAAAAAACAGAGCCCACCACCCAUUAAUAAUUUAGCAAUUCACCAAUCAUCACAAAAUUCCAUUAGAUAUUCGUCGAUCAAGUAGUUAAGUAUUUUUGCUAGAAUGAAUGCAACCAAGAUUCUAUGGGAUAUGUAUGAAGAUGAUGUAAUAAAGUGCUUUUGAUAUAUUCCCCUAGUCGGUUUACUUCACUAACCAUUAACGAGCAAAUCCUCCCAAUGACCCUCAAUACUCUUGUGCACAAUUAAAAUAAUUUCAAUUAUAUAUAUAUAUAAAUAAAAAAACUCUCAAAUAUAUUAUUUGAUAAUCACCAAAAAAAAAAAAAUUCACCCCAAUAAAUCACAUUACAGUCUAUGUUGCAAGUGUUUUUAGGACUAAUUCAAAGAGAAAAUGCGAAGGACAUGUAAUUGAAUUUGGGACACUGAAUAUAUUCCCAAUUACCCUUUAGUGUAAAUAGUUCCACUUCAGAUAUAUAUAAUGAUGAUGAAAUUUUGUUUUCUCAUAGCAAUCAUUCUAGUGUUUUACAAUGAGUAAUUGAUUCAAUAUUAACACAACACUAUUUUAACAUGUGACAUAUUCUAUCAUAGUGUGCUUCAACUCAGACUUCUAAGUUUCCAUUUUAGAACAAGUUAAAACAGUUCCAACUCAAAAUCAGUAGUGCGCAAUUGGGUUGUUAUAAAUAUUUCUAAAUUUUAGUCUAAUUUGAAUUAUUUAAUUGUGUUUGUACAAACUAGCUUUAUCACUUCUUUUAUAUUGAUACCCUUAAAUUUCAACCUUAUUUUAUGUUGAUGCACAAUCUAACUUAACAAAAAUAAUAUUCAAAUUGUCACAAUUUUUUUUUUUAAAAAAAAUAUACAAAGUUAAUUUUUCUUCUUCUUUACUCUAGGAUCCAGCUCCAUACCCCUCUUUUUUGUCGUUAUGCUACUCAGCCGUUAGAUUUUAAUUACGUUAAUCUAAUGGUUGGGAUUUGCAAAUGAAUAAUGAAGUGGUGUUCGGCUACUAUCCGAGGCCAUUGCAUCUAAUUGGUUUUGUGAUUUUUCACUUUCUUCCCUGUAACACUUGACUAGUUCUGGAAAUUGCUUUUUGGCAUGCUAAUUGUUGUGAAAAUUUUAAUAUACUCGCAAGCGCACGAAUCUAGAAAUAAAAUAGUGGUAACGAGGUCGAUCCCACAGGGAUUGGCACCCAUCACGCCUUUAGUUGUCGUGAAUAAAUCGAAAAUCAAAUUGAACUGGUUUUUACCGGGUAGCAACAAUCGUGACGUUUUGAGAUUAUAAUAUAUGACAACACUGAUUAGUGUUGUCUCCCAUGUGAAUUGAGACAAAAAUGAUUUUCCCAAUUGCGCUUUCAUUUGAACAAUUCCACUGUAGAUUUAUAAAAUAAUCACGAAAUUGUGUUUUAUAAUAAGUUACGAGUAAUUGGUUCAAUAUUAAUACAAAACUACUUUAAGUAACACGUGGCAUAUUCUAAUUCUAGCAAAGUUUCCAACUAAGAUUCCCAAAUCAAAAGAAUUUCAAUCUCCAGAACAUUCUACAAAAUGUUUCUUCUAGCCUCUACGUUGUGCUAGAAUUUUCUCUUGAGUUUUUUAGCAAAGACUUCUAAAGAACUAUCCAGAUAUCGAGCUAUAAUCCAGUCAAAGUGUAUAUAUUUCUCUAAUUCACCUCCCUCCAUUUCACCAGAAAACCAACAAACACUUAGCUUCAAACAAACACUUUCAAAUAGCUAGCUAGCUACCCAGAUGGCAAAAUCAAGAAUUCUUGCAAUGACAAUGUUGUUUCUUGUUGUGGCGGCAACAUUGAUGAACAUGGCAUCACAAGCAAAUGCUCUGAUGCCGUACACACGAUCACCUUUCUUUGACAUGAUGUUCCGAAUGACGAAAGAGCCUUUCAGGGUUCUUGAACAAACCCCUUUAACAAUCGCAAAAGGAGCUGAUCAUCAUCAAACUCUAGCCCUGGCGAGAGCAGACUAGAAGGAGAGUGGAUGGAGCCUUUACUUUCUAUUAUAUUUGUAAAGCGUGCCACAACACACGUGAUCACACUCGACAUUCUCGGAAUUAAGAAAGAUGAUGUGAAGAUUGAAGUUGAAUAGAACAGGGUAUUGAGAGUAAGUGGGCAGAGGAAGGCUGAUGAUUAUUAUAAGGAGAGGGUUGAAGGAGAGAAAUGGCACAGAGCUAAGAGAGCAUUUGGCAAGUUUUGGAGGCAGUUUAGGAUGCCAAUGAGUGCUUGACUUGGAUCAUAUUAAGGCUCACUGAGUGCCAAAGCUUGCUGAGGAGAUGAAGAGGCAGCCGAAGGCUAUUAACAUUGAUGAAGAGUCUGGUAAUUCUUCCAAUGAAGAUAUUAAGGCUACCAAGGCUCAAAUGUAAUUGAUUAAAGAAAGAAGUGAUUGCUUUGCUUGAUGUGCUAUUUGUUUAUGAUCUUUUUUUGGUUUUGUUGUGAGAUGUUUCUCUAUGGACGCUUUGUUUAAUGUAUUUUGAUGGGUUUUUUAGGAUGGCUUGUAUGUAUUGACAACAAUAAAGUGCUUUUUAUAAAUCCUAGUCCUACAACACUAAAAGAAAUUAAUACUCUUGGUUUAUAAUUAAUAAAAAUAUAUAUUUUUUUUAAAAGUCUUUUUCUUUGGCAUAUAGUAUGCGUUUUGAGGGGAAAAAAAUUUAUCCCACUCCUAAUUCGUCCUCUUCUGUGAUAUUAAUGUGUUAACACGAAGAUUCAUUGUAAUUGCAACAAUUUUGACGAAUCCAAACGUUCAAUAACUGUUAAAUUGUAUUUAUAAAUACUAAUAGCGAAGGUACAGAAACGAUUAAUUCAAGAAGUUGCUUAAAGUGCAUUAAAUUAGGGAGUAUAAAUAAUUGUGUGAUACAGUCCAGCCUUCAUCUGCUUAUAAUUAGCAACCAAAAACCACUUUGCAACACCAUUAAAAAAACAUUUUAACAUUAUUGCUGAGGGAAGAGGCAACUUAGGCUUAUUAACUCGUAUUAUUAAUGCUGAUGACGCAGCUGGUAAUCCUUUUGGUGAAUAUAUUAAGGCAGCUGAAGCUUAAAAUUAAUUAAGCCCACUAAAGCUUAAAACUAAUUCUUCUAGUGACGAUGCUUUGCUUAGUUCGCUUUUUGUUUUUAAUUUUUUUGGGGCUAACGUUUUGCUUAUUUUGCUUUUAAAAUUCUAUUGGCGUUGCUGUGGAAUAUUGUUUCUCCUUCGAUUUUCUGUUUUUGUUGUUAUCGGAUUUGAUGAUGGUUUAUAUGUACGAAGAUUAUGUAAUAAAGUGCUUUUGUAACAAUAUAUAUAUAUAUAUAUAUAUAGAUGUUUCAACAGCUAAGAAAGAGAUAGCCAUUAUACAUUACACAUUUGUACUCAAUAAGAAAUCAAUUCAUUAAUAUAGCCAUUAAUACGCCUGGUUUAUUGUUAAUGAAAAUUAAAAAAGAAAAAAAAAUCUUUUUCUUUGGCCUUUAGUAUGCAUUUUAAGAGGAAAAAAAAUUUAUCCCACUUCAAUUCAUGAAGAUAUUUUCAUUUCUGUCAUAUUGAUGUGUUAAUAUGAAGAUCCAUUGCAGUUGGUGAAUUCAAAUAUUCAGUAACUGAUGAAAUUAUAUUUAUAAAUUCAUACUAAUAACGAUUGAAGAUUAUAAUUAAUUUUUUAAUAUGGUCCAGCCCUCGUGUGUUUAAUUAGCUCUCAAAAACCACUAAGGUAAAGGCAAAAUCAUGAUAAAUUGUGGUCGGUUUAAUUUACUUGAUCAAUUGAUAUUGGGUAGCAUUGUUCUUAUACAAACACAAUAAAAGAAGAACACUAACGUACUAAUUAAUUACAAAUAAGAACAUUAACAAUUUUGCCGAAGUCUGAUGAAGAGAAAUAUUACACAUAUGUAACCGUACAACUAAAUAAAAGAAACUGAAGUUUAUUUCAACAGCUAAGAAUGAGAUACGCAUAAGAAAUUAAUCUAUUAAUUAAUUAAUUAAUUCAUACAAUUUUCAACUGAGAUUUGAAUUUUAAAAUUACAUACACAAACACACCUGAUUUAAAAGAAAAAAAUUUUAAUAAUAAAAUAUUUUACGUAUGUAACCAUACCGCGGAAAGAACAAAUGUAAGAAACUGAAGUUUCAACAGUUGAGAAUGAGAUAGGCAUAAGAAAUUAAUUAAUUAAUUAAUAGAGUCCUCCUCCUUUGCUAAAUAAUGCGAGCCCAUUGUUCCUUUUAUUUCGAAAACCCAUUAAUCAUCAACACAUACACGCCCAAUUUUAAAAAAAAAAAAUAAUAAUAAUAAAAUAUUUAAGUCGUCCUCUGUUCAAUAAUCAAAAACCCAUUUAAAAUCUAUUUUAACUUUAGGUAUAUGGGUUAACAAGUCCCAAUAUUGUCCUCCAUCUUUUCUGCACUUCUCUGCUAUCAACGGACAUCCCCCGAUGUAUAAUUGCAAAAGUGAGGAAGGCAGGCCCUUCUCCGGAAAGUAUUUGAGCUUGGGACAAUCCUCGAGUUCCAAGUGAGUGAGGUUUUGAAGAUCAACAAUUGAAGAAGAUAGGCGUUCCAGAUUUGGAAAAUUACCAAUCAUCAGGGAUGCUAGACAGGCAGGAAGAGGAAGCGUGGUCCUCAAUCUUAUGUCCUCCGGUGGGAAUGACACCAUGUCGUCAUCGCAUCCGCUGAUUGUAAGUUGUCGCAGAGAGGAGAAUCUGUGGAAUCCCCGACCCCACUCAAUCGUUGACUUCCAAAUCUUCUUAUUAUCAAUAAUCUCCAGCCUAUGAAGGUUGGUGGGAAGGCCAUCAUCUUCUUCAAGGCUUGGAAGCUCACCUCCUUCUCCUAUUGUUAAUUGUUGAAGAGAGGUCAGAUUGUGCAAUCCCUUGGGUAAGACCUGUAGUCUCUUACAAUAAGAUAUCUCUAGCCUCGUGAGUUUCGCACAAGGCAAUCCCCCUUGGGGAAAGGACACCAGAUUUUCACAUUCCCAUAUCCCUAUCUCUUGAAGCUGGCGGAGAUUAUGUAAACCACUCGGUAAAAUUUUCAGAUUUUCACACUCAGAAAUACUGAUUGUUUCAAGAGAUGUGUUGUUGUCCAACCUUUCUGCUAUUGACUCCAGCUCUGAACAACUCCAAACAUCAAGGGACUUAAGAGACGGAGGUAGAUUGCCAACUUCAAGGGACUCAAGCGUGGCAGGUAACUCGUUUUUUGAAAAUAUACACGUCAGUGACGGACACCUGCUAAUAUGCAAGCCCUCGAGAAGAGAUGAGGUGUACCUUCUGCUGCUGCUGCUGCUCUGGAUGCCCUCUUCCACCGUCAAAGUCCUUAUAUUAUCGCAAUGGCGGAUCUCCAACCACUUAAGGCUCGGUGGUAGUUGGACUCCAGCAAUAUAUGUCAACGAAUUGCAAAUCCAAAUCUCCAAGAUCUCGAGAGAUGAAUUGGUGUCGCACAUCCAUGCCUCUGGUAACGAUUUCAGUGCAUCACAUUCUCUAAUCUCAAUUUUCUUCAACUUGGAAGGCAGAGCAACCUCAGGAAAGGAAACAAGGGAACUGCAGCCGUAGAUUUCUAUCUCUCUCAAGGAGCUGAGGCUGAGAGGUGAUUGUGGCAGCUUCACAAGGUCUUGGCAAUCUCUCAAAUCUAUAUAUUCGAGUAUGCACGACAACUGGCAGAGCUGCUGUUGUUGGUCUUUCUCUUCCUCCGCCACCAAGGAUUGAAGUUUGGGACAACUUGUAAUCGUCAGUCUUUUGAGAGAGCAAAUGUCUUGCAGCAAUUCGUUAUGACUCUUCCAUAUAUAUGUCUGCUCUUUCAUAUCAUUUAUCUCCAAUUCUUCCAAUUUUGGUAUUCGCGGCUUCAAUGGCCCUGCGAGAAACACUUGAUUUGAUGUAUCUCUACAAACUACUGAAUUCUGCGAUCCGAGAUGACCAGUUGCACUUUCCCACACAAUCUUUUUGCAUCCACCAAUUAUGAAUUUGCAAAGAGAUGGAAGACUCGAAACUGAAACUAACAAUUCUUCACAUCCUUCAAUAACAAGCAUCUCCAAUGCAGGAAGGUGCUCUGGAAAUGUUCCUUUCAGUUUAGAACAUCUUAAAAUGUGAAGCUCUCUCAAUUUAGGAAACCGUUCAACUCCCUGACUGAAUCCAUGAGGAAUCCAGUCUUCCCAUCCUUGCAUGUCUUCAAAAUGAAGCGUCUCCAAGCAUGGAAAAGGAAUUGGAGUAUCAUUCCCAUAGAACUCUGAACCCAACCUCUUUACACUAGUCAUUCCACAUACUGCAAGAUGCUUUAGAGAGGGUAGUUGGCCGACUGACGGCAGGGUAGGACACAUGCCACAAUAUUCAAAUUUUAAGGUCACCAACUUUAAGAAUGAGGAAUCUCCGAACCAAGUUGGAAAUUUUGCGCCUCCAUAGCCGCUGAUACAAAAUUGUUCCAGAUUUUUAUGGGGUUCUAGCAUGUCAAGCACGUCCUUUUCAGUUUCCGCCUCCCUUGAAGACGAGCCAUCGGUACUGUUUGUCCACCGAAGCAUUAACACUUUAAGGUUCUUCUUUCCAUCCAAUUGAGCCUCCUUUGCAUCACCAACGUCUUUUACGUUCUCCAAUUUUGAAAUGCAAAGUGUCCCACGAAGGUGCGUCAACAACUUUAGCUCUCGUAACCCGGAACCACUGUCUUUUCCUACAACAAAAUUACACAACGUCUGAAGACAAGUCAACUUGCCAAUUCCUAGUGGCAUUUCCUCCAACGACUUCGUAUUUGAAUUCUUAAGAUGAUGCAAUUUGGCGAGGUUUCCCAUGUCUGCACACAACUUCUUCAGCCGAUCACAAUCUUCCAACAAAAGACUAUGCAAAUUGUAAAGCUUGUUGACUGAUUCAGGCAGAGUUCUAAUCUCAGUUCCAGACAGGUUAAGGUACCUUAAAUACCUCAAAGCACCAAUUGAAUCCGGCAGCUCAGGGAUGCGGUAUCCACGCAAAGAGAAGACCCUCAAGCGUUGGAGUUUGAGCAACUUAGGAAGAAUGCUAGGAGCCAAGUAUCCAGACAGUGAGCUAUUUGACAGCAUUACGGGUAAAAAUGUUCGCAAAUGUUGGAUAUCGUACAAGUCCUCAAACCUUUUAACACCAUCGUAAUCUCCACGAAUAUACGACAGAUGACGAAGAUUUCUUGAAAAACUUUGUUGCUUGUCAACCUCUGAGAUAUACUCCAUUCUGAAGUACAUUUCCCCAGCAGCCCAUUGAGCAAGGUCAUUGACGAGGUCGUGCAUCACAAAUCGUGAUAUACUGUUGCUUGAUUGCUGGAAAAAAGAUCUUGCACGUAGUUCUCGAAAGAACUUUCGACCUAGAUCUUCACUAGGAUUCCCGCUCUCUCCGUGAUCCAAGAGACCCACAGCACACCAUAAUAAAAUUAUCUCCUCCUCUUCAAAUUCAUAAUCCUUUGGAAACAAUGAGCAGUAUGCAAAGCAUUGUUUCAAAGGUGCCGAAAGAUAAUAGUAGCUCACUCUAAGCGCAGGUAUAAUGUCACAUCUCUCUUCUGGUAAAUCCCAUAUCUUGCAACUGAGCACAUCUUCCCAAUCACUUCGGUCACGUUUACCACGUAAGAGUCCACCAAGAGUUUUCGCAGCUAAGGGCAAGCCGUUGCAUUUGAUCACUAUAUUCUUGCCAAUGUCCUCCAAUGACUUAUGUGAACUGAAAUCUGUUGUCCCCAAAGAGUGCUGAGCGAACACAGACAGACAGUCCUCAGUUGACAAGCUUUUGAGUUCAUAAGCUUGAUCCAGGCUCAUGAUUUUGGCAACCUCUUCAUUGCGAGUGGUGACAACAAUCUUACUUCCCUGUGCGCCAGCUUGAAAUGAAAGGCUGAGGUGAACCCAAUCAGUGUAAUUCUCAUUCCAAACGUCAUCUAAAACAAGCAAAAAUUUCUUUCCAAAUAGUUGUUUCUUUAGCUCCUCUUGAAGCUUAUUCAAGUCGUGAUUAUCCACAUUCUGGCCAGGAGCAAUGGAAAUUAGGAUUGAUUUUGUAAGCCUGCUAACAUCAAAAUCAUCGGAGACGCAAGUCCAUGCCUUGAGAUUAAAAUGAUCCUCCACCUGCUUAUCAUUGUAGACAAGCUGAGCAAGAGUGGUUUUACCCAGCCCGCCCAUACCUAUAAUAGGAAUAACAGAGAAUCCACCAUCCUUUCUUGAAUCAUCCUUCAACAACAAUUCAACAAUUUCCUUCUUUUCUGUUUCCCUGCCAUAUACUUUGGCUUCCUCCACCAAAGAGGUUGUCUCUUGCCUUUGCCUGGCUUUUUUGGAUCCCCCAGCUGAACUUUUUAUCAAAUUCAGCGAGCCUAUUCUUUCUUCAAUAUCUUGAAAUCUAUCGUUGAUUUCUUUGAUUUUGGACAUCAUGGCGUAAUCGAACUGAAUCGAUUGUGGAGUAAAAGUGGUGCAGCAAGUAGGAAUGAGCUUCCGAAACUUACUUUUCGUGCUUGUACGACUGCUGCUGGGUUGAUCAUGAGCAGCAGCUGGUUCUCCAUUUCCAAGCAGCAACUUCCUCCGGAAAGCCUCAGUUUGGAACUCAUCCAACAAGUCUUCAACGUCAUAAGCCAAGUUCUGAAGCUCGCCAAGCCACAACUUCACAGAAUCAUCAGUCGUCUUCUUCUGCUCAGCAUCAUCAAGCACCGCCUUGAUCGUCACCAACUUCUUCUUCCACUUCACUAGAUCGUCUUUGAUUCGACCUUGGCGUUCAAAUAAACGAAGCCCCUCCGAAGAUAACUUAUUGACCAGCAUCUCAACGGACGCCUUCAGGAUUGCCUCUCCGAUGAUCGACAUAUAUUUUUUUUUUUUUGGGACAAAGAAUGAAACCAGAUUAUGAGCUUGUGGAAAGCAGAAUGAGAAAAGUGAAUAAGCAGCGUGAGUUUGUGAUUGUGUCUAGCAAGCCUAGAAAUCAAGAAAAACCCACCGUAAAAGUGAAAAGUAAAACGGAGCCAACCACAAAUAUAAAAUCAGAGGAUCACAGAAAUUAAAAAAAAAAAUCAAACACGUAAUGAUUUGUAAAGUUAUUAGCGAUUUGUAAAAAUCAAACAUGCGUCUUCUUCCUCUGAGUGUUUUUUUUUUUUUUUAACUUUAUUAAUUAAUUAGUGAAGUAAAUUUGUAAAGAUCACGGGCAUCAAAUUAUUGGGAGGUAUUAAUUGCGCUUAGUAUUUACAAUUUUUUGUAAAACUUUUUAAUUUCGUUGAAAAUGUAUCGUUAUUAAGUUAUUAUUGAUUUCACUCUCUUUUACUUUUUGACGUUGCGAAAAAGACAGUAAAAAACUUGCUAAAUGUCAUCAAAUACUUGUAUCUCAUCUCACAAAUUAGCAAUAUUUGUUUGGUAUUUCAUCUCAACGGGACGAAGGAACGAUAGAAAACGCGUUCCCUCAUCAAAAUUUUCUUUCGUGAGACCGAUAAUAAAUAAUAAAAUAUUCUUUUAUGGGAUCGAUUAUAAAUAGUAAAUUAAAGAAGGGUCGACAGAAAACGCGUUCCCUCAUCUAAUUUUUCUUUUGUGGGACCGAUAACAAAUAAUACAAUAUUCUUUUGUGGGACCGACUACAAGUACUAACAUAAAGAAUAAAAAAAUGAAAAAAAGGAUAGUGAAAUAACUCAACGGAGAAGUCUAUAAAUGCUUUUGUUUGGUAGCUGGCUAAAGCAGAAUCUGUAAGUUGCAGAGUCAAGUUACACUUAGCCUGCUCCAUAACUCUAAUGUGAAACAAAAAAAGUCCUGCCACCAAUAAUUCAGCAAGCUUCACUUUAUUACACGAAGGUGAAAGCAAAAAGCCAAAAACAGCCCCCACCACCAUCAAUAAUUUAGCAAGCUUCACGCGCUUGUGCUUGUCUUGUCUGCUUGACGAACUGGACAUGGGUGGACCAAGCAUCCAUUGAAUAACUGGAAAAAGUAAAAAAUAAAAAACAGUGUCCCGCAAAAAGAAUCCAUCUUUAUGUGUUGAUAUGCACAUCUACCGAACAUCUACAAAAUGGAAGUAGAAAUUGAAACUUACGUUUUUUAGUUAUGGCUCAUAUAUAAUACAAGUAUCAAUAUUUAAGUAGAAUAGAGUUCACAUAUACACAUGCGUCUAGUUUUAAGUUUUAACCGAGAGAUAAAUUAAUCAUUAAUACUCAGGUGUUUCUAAAUAAUUGAAUAAUGAUAUUAUACGAACCUUCCCUUUACAAGUCUUCAAACUCAUAAACCAAGUUAAAAUAAAAUUAAAAAAAACGUUUCUCUCUCUCUCUCCUUUUGCUAUAUGAUUACUUUAUUUAUUGAAUUAAUUUCCAUGCUAUAUCAAAGACUUAAAAGUACACUAUAAUUUUUUAUAAUCAUAAUGGUAAUUUCUAUCAUCAUAUUAAAUUAUUGUCGUGUCAAAAUAAAUUAUAACAAAAUUUUAGCUGAACAUAAGUUCGACUCAUUUAUUAAAUAUAUAUACUUAAUAAAAUAAUAAGACGAUUAAUAUGUUAUCAGUGAUAUAGACCCAACUGAAAUAACUCUAAUGUGAAAACAAAAAAAAUCCCGCCACCGAUAAUUGAGCAAAUUAACUUCACUUUAUUACACGAAAGUGGAAGCAAAAGCCAGAGGCAGUCCCCACCACCAUCGAUAAUUGUGCUUGUCUUGUCUGCUUGACGAACUGGACAUGGGGGGGGGGGGGGGGGGGGGGGGACCAACCAUCCAUUGAAUAACUGGAAAAAGUAGAAAAUAAAAAAAUCAGUGUCCAGCAAAAAGAAUCUACCUUUAGGUGUUGCUUCCUAUUCAGUACAUGCAUAGAUAAUGUACAUCGACCUGGAAUUAAAAAAAUGGAAGUAGAAAUUAAAACUUACUUUUUUAGAUAUGGCUCAUAUAUAUUACAAGUAUCAAGAUUUGAUUAGAGUUCACAUAUUUACAAUGUGCCUAGUUUUAAUUGAGAGACAAACUAAUCAUUAAUAAUCAGGUUUUUCUAAAUGAUUAAAUAAUGAUAUUAAUUAUUGAUAUUUAAAAAAUUUGUAAGAAGUAUAACUAAUAUGUUGGGAUAUGUAUUUGUGUAGAAUGGCAAAUAUAAAGAAUAGCAAUAAAAAUAGUGGAACUUUAAUAUGAUGAAAAAAGGUAAACUGUAGAAAAUUAAUAUAUAAUUCAAGGUACGUUACAAAUAUCACUUUCCUUCAGACAUUAUUUACCCCACCAAUUGAGUGAAUGCACAUGAGUUAAGCAAAUAUGUCUCUAGGAUAUAAUGAAACGCUUCUUUGUUUGCUUGUAUUGUGCAUCGACAAAAGUAAAUCUGAAUAUUCCUUAAUGUUGCAAGCUUGCCACGAAUUAAUAUAUUGUUAUUGUAAAAAAAUAAAAAAAAUAAUGUAUUGGAUAUUUGAUGCAUAAAAGAAAUAGAUAUUAUUAGAUGAAAUUCAUUUUGAGAAAUAGGGCUACAAAAAGAGUGGUGUAAUGUCGUUUUAUUAAUGUCUAAAUGGCAUAAAUAUGACAUCUAUUUACAAAUAUAUUUAUGCUCUUUUAUUUAAGUUAUCGUCUUUAGUAAUGCCCUUGAUUCAUAUCCAUUAGAUCAAGCAACCUAAUCCCCACUAAAACUAACUUAUUGAACAGUAACUCAACGGAUGCUGUAAAGAUUGCUCUUGGAUGAUUGACAUUUUUUUUAAAAAAAAUUUGGGCAAAGAAAGAAACUGAAUUAUGAGUUUAUGGAAAUUAAAGCAAAUGAGAAAGUGAAUUAGCACAAUGAGUUUGUGAUUGCGAAGGAACCAGCAAAUCAAAAAACAAUUAAGCAAGAGAAAAGGACAAUGAACACUUUAAUAUUCUAGAAAAGGGAUAUGAAACCUCUAAACAUUUUAAAAAAGAUAUAUAAUCUCCUUUUUAUUAGUAAAAUCUGUUUAUUUCAGUAGUAACAUAAUCUUUAAUUUACAUUUACUAUCAUGUCCCUAUAAUAAAUAAAUUAAUAUAUUUAAUUUAAAAGAGUGAGCCCUCCAAUUUUACUUCCCAUUUGCUCAAUUGCCUUUCAUUCAUAUACAAGCAUGUUUAACAUCUCAUUUUGCCUAAUUUGCCUUGGAAGAAAAUAAAUUUGAUUUUAUUUUUAUCUAUUAUUCAUCAUUUUUUAUCAUCUUAACAUUGGGAAGGAUAUAUUCAUAAUUUAAAGUGAAUAAUUUGGAUAAAAGAUAAUUAUAUCUUAAUUUUAAGUUUUAAAUAAAAAGUUGUUGGUUUUAUUAUACAUGUCAUUGAUGACAUGUCUUAAAUUAAUAUAUUUAUUUAUUUAUUAUCGGGAUAUAAUAAUAAUUAUAAAUUAAAAAUAAAUUUAUUAUUAAAAUAAAUGGAAUUUAUUAACAAAAAUAGGAAUUAUAUAUCUUUUUUAAAAUAUUAAAACAUUAUUUUUUUUUAGGGUAUCACUAUCCAUUUCCCAUUAAGCAAAACAAAAGUGAAAAGAAAAAUCAGAGCCCACUAUAAAUAUAAAAUUAGUGGAGCUCAUGAUGAUGCAUUUGCUUUACAUACUAAAUUAAAUAAAAGCCGAACCAAGAAUCUUUGCCUUAGCUUAACAUGAUUAAUUAGGCACUACUUCAUAGAAAACGCGAAAGCAAUGAACCCUUUUUUUAAUCUUAAAUGUCAUGAAUAUAAUUCUUCUGCGUUAAUUAAUCAUUCUUCUCUGACCGUCUCUUCAGGUUCAUUUCAAAAGUUUGAAGAUAGUUUAUCAAUUCUUCUACUUAUAAAAGCAAGUUAAAUUAAAAGAUUUUAAUCUCUCUUCUUAUUACUAUAAGUGCACUGUGCACGACAUUUUUUUACAAUAAACAAUGCCAAUUUGUAAUGUAAUGUUAUAUUCAUAUUCCCAUCGCGUCGAACUCUUUUUUUCCCUCUUUUUUAAAAGGAGACGGUGCGGUUUGGUUGUUCGCAAAAUUAGUGGUGUGGGGCUCUAUUUGCUUUUGUUUUCACUUUAUUAAUUAACUAGCGAAGCAAACAUGUAAUCAUUUGUAAAGGAGUCACUAGCACCGGAUUAUGUAAGAUGAAUUCGUAAGACUUAUUAAUUUCAAUUGAAAAUGUAGCGUUAUUAGGUUAUUAAUUCACUAAGUUAACUUGAGGUUCUAAUAUUUACUAAUUGUGGUGAUUAAUUUAUUUAACUUGUCAUAAUUUUCAUUUGAGAAUGAAAUUCAAUCAAUGUAUGAAAAAAGAUAAUUUUUUAAAAUUUUUAAUUCCUAUGAUUUGAUUUCACUUUUUUCCGGAUAUUGACGCUGUAAAAGCUUGCCCAAUGUCAUCAAAUGCUUGUAUCCCAUCUCACAAAUUAGCAAAUAUCAUUUGGUUUCUUUAUACGUGGCCAUCACAAAUUAAAAGUAACAACAUCCACCAUAUAUCGAAAAUUAAUUUUGAGAAUACUUUUGACUUUUAAAAGAAAAAUGCGAGUACAAUUUAAUAAGAGAGAACAAGAAUUGAUCAUGUCCCAAGAGACUGAAAAUAAGAUUAUAUAAACUUGAAUGCAGGCAUAUCAUAUGUUAAUCUUAAUUUUUUUUUGUUGCUGAAAAUUAAUUAAUUUGUUCCACUAUUCCUUUUUUAAUUGUAUGGUGAGAAACACAUUGGCCACUUCUGAAUCAUGUUGCAUAUUUGUUAACUCAAAGAAACAGUACACUUUUGUAUCAAUCAAACUCACUUUGUUAAUAUUCUUCAUUAUUAUGGUUAAUGGCUUAGCAAAUGUAGAAGGAGGAGUCAACCAAAAUGUAGCACUUUCUCUUGUAUUAACCUUUUAUUAAUUGUUGAAGUUAAAAAAAAUGUUAAAACAAGUUAAAAUAGUUCCAUCUCAAAAUCAGUAGGGUGUAAGUAGGUUGUUAUAAAUAUUUUUAAAUUUUAGUCUAAUUUAAUUGUGUGAUGCACAAACUUUCUCACUUCUUUCAUAUAAAUAAAGGGGAGAACUAUUUGAACUCAUUAAAUCACUUUUUAAAUUCCUCUACUUAUUAAGGCCAUCAUAAAAAUUCAAAAAUCCUUUUUAUACUCACUACAUCUCUUAAAAAUAUCGCAAAUAUGACACAUUUGUCUUCACCUUCUAUUUAUCUUCAACAUUCACAAUUUUUAUUUGAAUCUGUAAUAUGUUUAACACUGUUCAUUCACUCAUUAGAGUUCCAAUAAUAGAAUAUAGAGAUUAAAAAUAUCAUUAGCAAAUUAUUUGUUUGUGUUCUAUAUGAUAUUCUUGGUUUGGAAAAAGCUUCAUCGGCAAUAUAUGUAAAUAAAAGACUAAGAACUUCCAAUAAUUCAGAUUUGAUCGAAACUUCACAAACUUAUUUUCACUUAAAAAAAUAAAAUAAAGUAAAAGAAAUUCUCGUGUUUUAAAAGAAAAACUGCCAGACAUGUUUCUAAAACAACUAGAAACCAAACUAGGCUUGAAGCAGUGAGUUUUGAAUUAUAAAAAAUACAUAAUUGUAAUUUCACCUAAAUCAAAUGAUGAAUUUCAUGACAACGGAUUUAGACUAUAGACCAAUACACAAAGAAUUGGAUGUUCAUCGCAUUUGUUCUUGAAAUUGUUUUGCGCAAAAAAGUUAACUAUUGUAUUAUGUUGUAUUGCAUUAUUUUAAUAUAAGUGUAUUAUAUUAUGCUGUAUUGCAUUAACACUGUAUUAUAUUAAUACUAUACAACGUUUGGUUCUACAUUGUACUAUAUUAAUUUUUAAUUAUACAUACACUAUAUUAUGCUAUACUAUAUUAUUUUUUUGGUGGUUAAUUUCAAUUAUAUGUUUGGAAAUAAUAUUUAUUAGUACUUAGCAAAAUAUAAAAUAUAGAACCUUAAAUUUUAGAAUAUUUACAUCAAUUUUUUUUAGUAUAAAUGUAAAUAAUUAUAAUAAUUCUUCAUUAAACUUAUGUAAAAAUAACAAAUUCUGAAUUUUUGCUAUCGUAACAUUUUUUUUUUAACGGCGUUUUUCAAAUGUAUACCUUAUUGAUGAUGCACCAUAAAAAUAAAUAUCAAAUUUUGCGAUCAUGAUCAAGUCGAGUUUUACAUUAUGAAAGCAUGACACAAAAAUUGAAAAAAAUAAUGGCCGGCAAAAAGUUAUACAAGCAACAACAAAAGUGCUAAUUACUCGGAAAAUAAACAAUCAAGAGCCGCUGAUAGAUAUGAGUCAUAUGACAAGGUAGAGGAAUACAGAUAUCUGCAUACAUUUUUAACAAAGAUCAUCUUUGUAACCAAUUGUUGGCUUUGGCAUUAAAAGAUCAUCUUUGUAACCAACUGGGUAGCUAUAAAAUGAAUACUAAGUCAAUCAAACGGGAAAGCUUGCUACAAGACUUUGAAGCAUUAUUCUGUUGCAUCACCUUCCUCCUCUGCCUCACUUCCUGCAUCCCAAAUUAAAGAACAACAAAUAUUAAAUAACAAAAACAAAAUCUUCAAUAGACUUUUCAUACUCCAUGGAGCAAAUCUAUGGGAAUCCACAAAAUAAUUGAAAUAUAUCAAUGCUGCAGGUCAUAGUAACAAAUUACAGAUACACAAUCAUGCAUAUGCAACUAAAAAAUGCUUAUUUAUUACAGCCGCUUUUUGGCAUGACUACUUCAUAAGUUAUAUAUGAUAGAUAACAUUAUUAUUCUAAUCACAUGGUUAUGAUUUUAGUUGGACAUACAAAAGCUACGUGCAUGAAUCUGUAUCAUGCCACCUUUCAUGAGUCAAAAAUUUAAAUCAAAUCAAUUUGGUUGAGCCUUCAAAUUCCUAUUCCAGUCAAAGGAGAUGAUUUUUCCAAAGGUAAAGAAUGAGUCCGGUUACUUAAGCAUGUCAACCUUUUUUCUAGGCUAAGGUUUAUCCCUUUCCAUUUCACUAACUCUCCUCUCACUACCUUGCGUCAACAUUUGCAUACUUGAUAUACUUUCACAACCUUAAUCUAAUACUUUCAUUUAUGCUGAUAUAAAGAAGAAGUUUGAUUUAAAUCUGGACAGGUAACAAGAUUAAAAAACUGCCUUGUAGUAGAGCCAAUUCUUCCAACAAACAUUUCUUGAACCAAUAUCUAAGAUUAAGCUGGAUCACGUAAGACAAAUAUGCCAAGAAGAUUUUUAACUCACCUGACACUAUGGAUCUCCAAAUGUACUCAAUUAGCUUAGGUAAGCCAUACUUCUUCUCAAUUAUGAGCCCAGUAAAUAGGACCCGAAAAACUUGCAUUCCUCUGCUGACAUUCAUUUCAGUGUUGCAAGAAUUACAGAUUCCAUGACCAUGGACUGAAGUUCUUUUGUUAAGACAGGCGCAAGAGAGUACGCCCCUAUCCCACUAGUAUUUGGCCCGGUGUCACCAUCACCAACUUGUUUAUGGUCCUGACAAGACAUUAGAGGUAUGGGCGUAUGGCAUUCUCCCCAUCCACGAAGUCCUUUAGAACCAAAAGCAUUGUUUACAAGCAUCGAAUCAACAACUUCUAUGAAUCAUCCAAUGUCAUAGUUAGAGCUGGUAAAAUUUGACACGAUCCAAUUAUUCGACACGAACACGACACUAAUAAAUGGGUAUGGGUCGUCAAAUUUAACACGAUUAUUAAAUCGGUCGGGUCCGGGUCAACACGAUUUUUUUCCGUGUCGGGUUAGGGUUAAAAUUCUUGACCCAUUUACCCGAUCAAUGACUCGAUUAUAUUUUUUAUUUUAAAAUAAUUUAUAGAUUCUUGUCAUCAAAACUUAAAUAUUAGAGAAUUUUUUUUUAUUCUUUAAAAAGAUGAAUAUAGACACAAUAUUUUAUUUAUAAAAUUUUAAAUAUAUUUAGAGCUUUAAUAAUGUAAAUGUAUAAAAUAUUGGUAGAUACGUAUAUUUUAUAAUAUUGAUAUAUAAUAUUAUUUACAUAUAUAUAAUUAAAACCUCAAUAAUGUGUGUAAUAUUUUAGUAGAUAUGAAAAUUUUAUAAUACUGAUAAAUUAUGUAUGUAUGGAUGGAUGUUGAGACAAGCUAGAGAAGCCAUGAAUGAGAUUUUUCCUUUGACUCCUGCUAUGUGGCAAGAAUUUGCGAGAGAUGAAGCCUCUAUUUCAACCGGGUAUCUGUCAUUUCCUUUUUACAGUGGUUUUUGAUUUUGUGAACAAAUACUUUUUUUUUCGCUUAGAGAUAUAGAUGUUUAUGUUAGUUAUUUGCUAAUGUAAAAAGGAACAAAAACUGCUUAAAAGGUAUUAAAGAAAGAAAAAAGGAACCAAUUUGAAGAAGGGGAUACUCAUAGCGGGAGUUCUGCUUUGGGGUUUAAUUGAUGGGAAGAAGAAAUAGUUUAUAUGUUUACAGAAUUAAACAAUUGAUCACUGAGUUAGUUGAGGAAGAUAAUUAAUCACAAUGUCUGAAGCUGUUGCUGUUGGCGUCACCUAUUGUUAAGAUUUCAUCCUUUUUUAUGGUUUUACAUAGCUGUGACCUAAAGCUUAAUGUAUACGUUGAUAAUUACAUAAUUGGUUUCUUGCUGAUACUUGGCUUUAAUUUGUAAGCCUGAGGCUCUUUCGGGAAUUGAGAAGAUUUACGGAAGAGGAGUUUCUGAUUAUCUGGUUUGUUCUCUUUAUGCUUACAGAAUUUGAAUUAACGCUCUGCAUGAAUUUAUGAUUCAUUUUUUUUGGAGAAAUAUUUUAUGAAAUUGAAGCAUUGGAGUAAAGCGUACUAGUCGUAAGCUUGAUUCACUUUGUUUUGAUUUUAUUACCAAGAGGUGCUAACAGUUCAUGAUGCAUAAAAGAGGGGGAAAAAAACUCUUCUUGGUAGAUACAUAAAUUUUAGUUUCUGAAUCAUUUUCAACGAAAGAAAUAAUUUUACAGAGGCUGAAGAGCAGCAUUUUCAUUUAUAUGAAAGUUCAAUUGUUAUAUCAUCUGUUUCCAUAUCUUUUGUGGUAAAUAAAGUCCUUGAUGAUGGCAUAAGAGCACAGAAGAGUUGUUAGUUUCAUAUGUGGAGAUUUUCAUCAUAGUAGUUCAUUGAAAGUGAAGGCAGCUGAAUACCCUUUUUUCUGAUGCAGUCUGUCCCUCUUUGGUGUGAUUAUUUAAAAUUUGUGCAAGAAUAUGAUCCAUCUAUACGCGAAUGUUUACCCAAUGGCACUUCAAAGGCAAGGAAUCUAUUUGAGCGGCUAUUACUGCUGCUGGUCUGCAUGUUUUAGAAGGCAGUGAAAUAUGGGAAUUGUACAGAGAAUUUGAGCUAGCUAUAUUUAGUAGGAUUGAUAAGAUUAACUUGAAUGUGAAAUAUUUUAAUUUAUUUUACUUUUUUUUGGGCUUAAAUAACGAGUUUAUUCCCAUCUAUAGAAAGAAAAAGGGAAGGUUUUUUUUUUUUUUGCUGGGGGGGGUGUUUCCAACCCUAGCACAUGACAAGCAUUCCAAGACCCUUGCUGCUUGUUUUGCAGGAAAAGGAAAAACAGGUUCUGCGGAUUCGAAGUAUAUUUCAUCGCCAGUUGUCUGUUCCCCUUGCUAACUCAAGUGCAACUCUUCUUGCCUACAAAUCUUGGGAGCUCAAACAGGGGGCUGUUCUUGAUGUUGAAUCUAGUAAUGUAGAUGGGAUUUCUUCUAAUGUUGCCGCAGCAUACCAAAAGGCAUUGGAGAUGUGUAAUGCACGAGCUCAUGUUGAAGAGCAGAUUUCUAGGCAGGAUUUAUCUGACUCAGAGAAAUUUCAACAAUACAUGGCAGAUGACUUUACUAUCGUCAUUUGAUAGCUUUUUAUAGUAAGUGAAAUCCAGCCCUAAAAAUUUUAUUAAUAUGAAUAUUUUUUUGGGGGGAUUUCUUCUUAUGGCAUUAUUAUUUUGCUUUUGUGUAGCUAACAAUUAAUAUGUGCACUUUAAAUAUUAUCUAUUGUUUCUUAGCAAAUAAUAGUAAUAAUAAUAAGUAAUAAAUAAUUAAUAUCUGCAUUGUCAAAUAAUAAUAAUAAUAAUGUCUGCUCUUUUUACUCUUGGGGGGGGGGGCAUGCAGUGUCAUUAUCUUCCUUCUUCUCCUUUUUCUAUUUUGUGCUUUCAAGUUUAAUAUUAUUAUAUUAAUCUGUUAUUGUUGUAGAUAUACUUGAAGUAUGAGCAAUCUUCUGGAGAUCCUGGUAGAGUUCAACUUCUUUAUGAACGGGCUAUUACCGACUUUCCUGUAUCAAGUGAUCUCUGGCUUGAUUAUACUCGUUAUCUUGACAAAACAUUAAAGGUUUAUCCUUCUAUUUUCUAUUUUACUUCUUCUGUUGCAGCUAUUUGUAUACUAAUCGACUCUCCUCUUCAGGUUGGUAAUGUUGUGAGAGAUGUUUAUUCCAGGGCUACAAAAAAUUGUCCCUGGGUAGGAAAACUUUGGGUACGAUCUUUGCUUUCUCUGGAACAUGGCCGUGUUUCUGAGGAGGAGAUAUCCACUGUAGGUUUAAUUGUUACCCUUCAUUCUGAGCUUAAUCAAUUUUCCUGAAUGUAUUCAUUCUGAGCUUAAUCAAGUUUCCUGAAUGUAAUUGAUUUUGAUUGUUUGAAGUUAAAGAAAUGAUCAGCUUCCUAGGCAAAUUUCUUGGCAAGCACUUGAUUGUGGGAGUAACUGAGGAGAAGCAUUCCCUAGUGUUUUUUUUUGUUUUUCUCCUCCCCUAAAAUUGCAAUAUACUUCCCUUGAAGAGUAUUUUUUGCUUUAGCAUUUACACAUCUGUACAGAAGCAAACAUGAAUCAGAGAGAUUUAGUGGGCAAAUUCACCUGUGCUGACAAAUUAAAGCAUAUUAAAUACCGCGGUGGUUGUUGGAAUGCUCCAAAAAGUGUUUUCUUGGUGCUCCUGCUCCUUUUGCACUUUCAUAGUGUUUUAAUAACUGGGUUGUUUAAAUGUCCUGUACUUAUUUUCUUUACAAAUGUCUUUGUAUUUUUUUAAAUUUAUAAAAGAUUGUUCUAAUUAUAUUAAUAGCAACAAAUUGCGCAAACUCAAAUCUUAAUUUCAUUCUGCCCCUAUUACAUAUAUACGGGAUUCUCCUAUUAUUUCAUCAAAUUUUCCAUUACUAAUUUCAGGUCUUUGAGAAGUCACUACUAUGUACUUUUUCAACCUUUGAGGAGGUAGAGAUAUAAUCUUAUGUCUUCUGUACAUACCUUGGUUUCUUGAGCUGUAUGAUUUGGUAUAUAUCUACUUCUGAUUCAUCAUGCAUUUUUUUGUUAACUGGUUCUUUUUUGUUUGAGUACCUAGAUCUAUUCCUUACUUGAAUAGAUGGUUUGAGGUGGAGAAUUUUAUUCUCCGGUGAAGUUGAGGGCGCCUUGGAUUAUUCAUUGAUAACGGAAACCCUUCAGGUUUGUAAACUUAUACUGUUGGCUAUUCAAUAUUAAAAUUGGUUAUACUCCUUAAUAUCAAGAAAUUGAAGCUUCCCAAAUCAUACCCAAGAAAUGCUCUAUUGUGGAUUACUGGAUGGAGCUAGUUGCUAGAUGAUACCUUUAAGAUUCAAGACAUAUGUUGUUUUGUGUAUGGCUAUCAAGUACUUUGGCCUGCAAUUGUGGCAUAUUGGUCUUACGCCAGCAUCAGGUAUAACAUUGUGUCUGGCAUAUAUACCAUUGGAAUUCUGGGUUUCUGUUGAGUGGGCUCCAACAGCUAUAUUUGUGUCCAAUGUUGUGGGGUCCUCUUCUUUGGUGCUUUUAAGUGAAGUUUUAACUUUCCUUGUCAAAAUUUUGUUACAAAUCAAGUAGAAGGCACUGCACUGAAGCAUUGGUACUUCUAGAUUGCUUGUUUUGCAUGGUAGAUUUCAAUCCAUUGCUUUUAUUUCUUGGAUCAUGUUUAUCAUUGAGGACUUUCUUGGCCAGUCAUAGAGCUGACUAGUGCUACCAUCAUCAUUGGUAGGGCAAAAAAGUCAAUUCCUAUGGGAUGCUUUCUGACUUAGAGAAGAUGUCUUCAAGAAUUUGUGGAUUUAAGUCUUCACACGAUGUUCAACUCUUGAUAGUCUAACCUUGGUACAGGAUUUAUAGCUGUCUUCCAAGUUUGUGCUCAUAAAUGAGUAACCUGUCUGUCUUUAUGAUACCAGUUAAAUUUGUUAGCUUUCCGGGAUUUGGAGGUUGUAAAUGUCCAUAAACAACAAUGUCUUCUCUUCCUUACAGCGUGCAUCAGAUUACUUGUCAGAACAGAUGAAAAAUAACAAUGGUUUGCUGCGUUUGUAUGCUUAUUGGGCACGUCUUGAACAAACUAUGGGAAAAGAUACGGUUUCAGCUCGUAGUGUCUGGGAGAGGCUACUUAAGAUCAGGUUCACCAAUUUUAAUUUUUGCCAGUGCAUACAUAGCAAAAUUUCUUUAUAUCUAUAUAUUUUCGGAUAACUUGUGCUUCUCUUAAUGCAGUGGUACAAUGUUGGAAGCCUGGCAAAGUUAUAUAUCUGUGGAAAUUGAAUUGGGUCAUAUUAAUGAAGCUAGAUCCAUCGACAAGAGAUGCUACAGUAAAAGAUUUACAAGGACAGGUUCAGAGGUAAAUUUCUUUCAUCCUGCUUCUUUAAUGAAUAUUAACUGCUUAACAACGUACCUUGUUGUUUCCAUCUUGUUUGUUUAACUGGUCUUAUUUGUAAACACCUGAAAUCAUACAUCUUAAUUUCUGAUAAUUAGAUGUUAUUUUAGAUAUCUGUAUCUGUUAAUGUUCUUUCAAGUCUGAUUCCAAUGCAUAUUUAGUUAAACUGCUCUUUACUGCAUUUUGGAUUAGUUGAUAUCUUCCUUUCCUAAAAACAGAAUCAUUCAGGACAUAUGCCAUGCUUGGCUGCAAUUUGAAUGGGAAUUUUGUAUAAAAUUUUUAAUGAAUUUAUGGGUUUGAUGAGUAAAAUUAGGGGUUCAUAUAGACUCACCCAUAAAUUGAACCCUUAUUUUAUGUUGAUGCACAACUUAACUUAACAAAAAUAAUGUUCAAAUUGUCACAAAAUUUGAAAAAAAAAUCAUACAGUUAAUUUUUCUUCUACUUUACUCCAUUAUUCAAUGGGCAUAUAAUAAAUUAGGAGAGGGGAGAAAUAAAGGGGAAAAUUAGAGUAUUGUCGCAAUGAUACACUGAUACAAAUGCCCAUUGAGUGAUUGUCAAUGGGCAUAUAAUAAAUUAGGAGAGGGGAGAAAUAAAGGGGAAAAUUAGAGUGAUUGUCACAAUGAUACACUGAUACAAAUGCUUAUGUAUGUGUAGUGUGUGUGUGGGGCGUUCUUUAAUUUGACCAAAAAUAAAUGCAUUUAUUUGUAUUUUUAAUCAAAAUCGAGGGAUAUAAACAAAAAUUUUACCACUCCAGAGUCCAGACAUGUAUCAUUGCCUCGUUAAAAAAAAUUGCAUAAAAUUAAAAAACCAUUAGUGGCUGAAAGAGAGAAACAAAUUAAGAAAGGGUUCAAAAGAUGGAACCCGAAGAGAAAACCCUAGCAACAAUCCCAGAAGAAGAAGAAGAAGAUGGAGACACGGCCAUGCCCGACGUCAAGAACAACCCUAAACCAACAACAACAGCCAACUCUUCGGACUCGAGCGAUGCCUCUGACUCAGACUCGGACUCUGACUCAGAAGAUGAAGCAAAACAGAACAUGGAGCUUCAAACCCUAGAGUAUCAGCUAUCCAAUGAACCCUCCAAUUACGACACCUAUGUUCAAGUAACUUCAAUACACAUAUUUAUUGAGUGAUUUUGUGGAUAACCGUUUGCUUGUUCUUUCUUGGGUUGUGAUAAAAAUGGUUUUUAUCUUUUUUUUUUCAGUAAAUAAAGGUUUUGAGAAAAAUGGGUGAGAUAGAGAAAUUGAGACAAGCUAGGGAAGCCAUGAAUGAGAUUUUUCCAUUGACUCCUGCUAUGUGACAAGAAUGGGUGAGAGAUGAAGCCUCUAUUUCAACUGGGCAUCUGUCAUUUCCUAUUGCAAUGGUUUUUUAUUUUGUGAGCAAAUGUUUUUUUUGCUUAGAGAUAUAGAUGUUUAUGUUAGUUAUUUGCUAAUGUAAGAAGGAACAAAACCUGCUUAAAAGGUAUUAAAGAAAGAAAAAAGGAACCAAUUUAAAGAAGGGGAUACUUAUAGUGGGAGUUCUACUUUGGGGUUUAAUUGAUGGAAAGAAGAAAUAGCUUAUAUGUUUACAGAAUUAGACAUUUGAUCGCUGAGUUAGUUGAGGAAGAUGGUUAAUCACAAUGUCUGAUGUUGUUUCUGUUGGCCUGAACUAGUUGUUAAGAUUUCAUACUUUCAUUCAACAAUACAAUAGACUUUGAUUGGGUCCACCGUAGUUGGGUGUUCUGAGGAAUCAAUGAGUGUCUUGAGAAAACUUGGGUGGAGUGCUGGUCAUUUUCAGGAUUCAGUUUCCAAGAAAACAAAAAUGAAGUCGUAGUUGUAGUUUAAAUUAAUUUAUGUUUUUAUCUUUUUCUGUGAGCCCAGUGAGCUUUUAUUUUCACUUUGUUCGCUUUUGUUUCUUUCCCUUCUUUUCCUACAGUUUCUUGAUAAUCAAACAGAUCAGGAUUAAGUGUUUACUUUUGGUUAGGGGUGGGCGUUCGGUUCGGGUUAACCCGAACUAAACCGAACCUGAAAUUUAUUUCGGGUUCGGUUCGGUUUGGGUUAACUCGUGCAACCCGAACGGAUUCAAAGCUUCAAUCUGUUCGGGUUAAAUUUCGGUUCGGGUUCAACCCGAACCGAAUUUUCAACCCGUUCGGGUUGAAGCUUUUUUUUUUUUAAAGAUUUAGCUUUUAAAUUAAAAAUAUAUAUACAUUAAUUAAACCAAAAAAUCCCUAAAAAUGAAAAAUCCCUAAACAAAAAUCUCUCCCUCUCGGCCUCCCCCUCCUUGCUCCCUCUUCUCACUUCUCAGUUCUCACUUUCUGUGAACUGUGGUUGAUGACAUCAGCACUUCAGCAGCAGCCACAGCAGCCCCGUUCAGCUCCAACAGACACCAGCCGGCCUCAUCGUCUCACUCCCUCCCCCUCCUUGCUCCAUCGUUUCACUCCCUCCCACGACGACAACACUCACAGGCCACAACAGCAGCCAGCAGCCCCGUUCACAGCAGCCCACUCGCGUCAGCCAGCACGCCUCGCCCGCAACUGCGCUGUGCGUUCAGCUCGCGUCCCACUCAGCCCAGGAAGUCUCGAUCUGCCAACGCUGUAGCUGCUCUGACCUCCGAGAUUAAGGUUUGUCUUGCCUUGCCGACGGCGACGCUGUAACUUGCUGACUUGCACGCAACUGAUGGCAACAACCCGAAUUGAAUUUUAAGUUUUUAACAGCCUGUUGCUAUUAAUUAAAUUGUAAAUUUUUAAUUAAUUGAUUGACAAUUAUUCAAUUAUUUGAAGUGGGUUUGUUGUUGUUGAUUGAUAAUUGAACCCGAACUAAUCCAAACUAACCCGAAUUAACCCGAACCGAAAUUGUAACCCGAAUUAUCAACCCAAUCCGAUCCGAAUUGUCAAUCCAAACCGAACCGAACCGAAUUGGUUCGGGUUGGCGUUUUCAACCCGAUUGGGUUCAAUUCUCCAACCCGAACGGGUUGAAACCCAAACCGAAACCCGAACAACCCGAACCGAAACCCGAAACGCCCACCCCUACUUUUGGUGUAAUUAUUCACUCUAACUCGAAUAGUACUUAGGUUUAGUGCUAACAAAAUAGGAAGUGAAUUAAUAUCUGAAGUUGACCUAGGAGUGGAAUGAAUGUUACCAAAAAUAUACUAUAUGGUAGAUAGAAUUUGCCUUUUAGGUAAGACAAAAAUAAUUACAGCUGUUAAUUUAUUUCAAUAAGUUCGUACAUCAUUGAAUAAUAAGUCCAAGAUUUUAAUGGUUUUGUUUCCUGAAAAUUUGUCACGAGUGCAUGAACAAAGUUCUAUGGAUGAACUUCUCUUAGUUAAUUUGAGUUCAAUGUCGCAGUUCCUCAUAUUAACUAUAUAAAACACUAAUCUUGCUCUUUACUUUGGAGCAUUUUAAUAAUUGAUGCUAAUUCCUUAGCCAUUUUAUUCAUCUUGUGCAUAAAUUAUGCAAUCAAUAAGCCAACUCCACUUUCAUCUUUAUUUAGUGAAAAAUUUGCAAGGUCACUAGGAGGUUUUUGUAUGUCUCAUGCUAACAUGGACGCCAUGGUUUCACUAUGUAAAUUUUCCCCACUGAAAUUCAUGAUCCCUCAUAUACCACUCAUCACUCAUGAAGCUGUUUCUGGGGCUUUAAAAGCGCCAAAUUUUAGUUUUAUCCUUUCUAGCUUAUUAACCUGUCCGCAUCUGCAUUAUUAUCUUUCCUGUCAUACGAAAGUUUCAUUUAUCAUCUUCCCAACAUAAACAUCCGUAGGUCAUUGUUGACUUUUUUGCUUUGACACUUAUUGUUUCUAAGUAUAGGCUACCAAGGGAGAAAAAAAUUGACAUUGAUGGUCAUCCCCAGCAUUUUUAUCCCAGGAGACUGGUCAUUCACUUUCUAUGAAGGACUAUAUAGACAUCCAGACUCUAUUUUGAAGGACAAAGCUGUGGCUGAGCUUGGUUGUGGAAAUGGAUGGAUAACCAUUGCCAUAGCUGAGAAGUGGUUGCCUUUGAAGUUUUGUUGGUUUGUCGUCCUUAUGCCAUGUGAGAGCUUUUAUUUCCUUCCCUACCAGUGCCUUCAGGGGCUCCAUCAUGAUUUCUCUCAUCAUUUUCUAUCUCUGUGUUUUGCAAGGCCAUUUGAUAUUUAUAACAGCAUUGGCACCAGGUUAUGGUGAUUUAAUGCACUCCUAUUAGGAAAAAUUACAUAAUUAUCAACUCUGUCCUUGUCCAAAAGUCUUUGUUGGAGUAUGUUGAAAAUAUAACCUUGUAGGAGUUCUUUUAUGCUGUCUGAAUAUCCUAUUGCAGGUCUAUGGCCUUGAUAUUAAUCCCAGAGCAAUAAAGAUCUCUUGGAUAAAAUUGUACUUAAAUGCAUUAGAUGAAUCUUUUUCUAAGCUUUUCUGUCACUGUCACUGCAAAAGGUCUUUUGUAUUGAGGGUUAUCUGUGGGGCUAGGAAAGGUCAGCCCAUCUAUGAUGCGGUGAAGAAAACCUUACUGGAUAGGGUGGAGUUUGAUGAAUCUAAUCUCCUAGCAUAUUGUAGACAUCAUGACAUUCAACUUGAAUGAAUAGUGGGGUGCAGACCUCAGGUACUCUCACUUUCUGCAACUCAUGAUAUUUCUAGGGGAUUAAAUUUUAGUGAAGUUUGUUUACCCAACAUCAAGUUGGAAUUUUAGUGUGCCCACAUGGAUUACUUUUAACUCCUAGUUUAACUUAUUCUGUUGUCUCCAUGCAGGUUCUCAACCCCAAUUCCAAUGCAAUGUCGAAAAUAAUCACUGAAAAUGCAAGCGAGGAAUUUCUGUAUUCAUUGAGUAACUAUUGUGGAUUGCAGGUUGGAAGAUAUUCUAAAUAAUUUAAUUGUGAUGCGCAAUUGCAAUUGCCGGGAAGUUAGCAAUUAAGUUGAUAGGCUUCUUCUGGUUUCACAUAUUUCUAAGUAACAACUUUGGUUUGAAGCUUGCAUACCUUAGGUAAGGUUGAUGUCUUUAGUUGGUCAAUAUCAAUUGGGAAAUAUAGCUAACCAGUGAAGACAGUGGGAAAAGGAUGAUGUGAGUUUGACAAAUGCUGGGAGGAGAUAGGGAAACUUAAUCUGAAAGAUUUCUUUUUUUUUCUUGGUUUAUUUAUUUAUUUACUCGUGUGACCUCUUCACAAUGCCAUUGAUUCCCAUAGUUCAUGUUGCUAGGUGAACUUAACAACAACCAUCUAUUAUGCCUUGUGGAUAACUGAGAAAAUUUAUUGCUUUGGACAAGUUGCUUUUUGAAAUAGAGUGCAAGUAGAUUGACUAAUAAUGAACUUAUUGUAUCAAGUUGUUACAUUUGAAUAUAUUAAGGUCAUAUAAAGCUUACUUGUUAUACUUCUUUUUUUCUUUUUUCCCUCCCCAUUUCCCUGUAUGGAGGGUUUCUUGGACGAUCAGUUUGGCUUAGGUCUAAUUUUCUCGAGCAGUUAAGGAAUUACUGUUAUCAAAAUAAAGUUUCCUCUCACUCACUAGCCAAUUGAGCAGCUCGUCACCGGUCGGAUUCAUUGCCGAUUGCAGCCCACCUCCAUCAUGUCAGUUCAGUAGCUUGUCGCUGCAGUCAUGAUCGGCCUCUUUGUUGUCGUUGAAGAACCAAUCAAUAAUGAUGAUGAUUGAUGAUGAUGAUGAUUACCAUUGUUGAUGAUUAAUAUUAUUGAUGAUGAUGAUGUAGAUGAUGUAAUUGCGGUGAGAUGAUGAAGAUGAAACUGAAUUGUGAUGUUGAUAAUGAAAUUGACAGAAGGAAGAAGAAGAUUGUGAAAAAUCUGACUUCUUCACUCGUAUUACAUUAGAGAAGAAUACAUAUUUAUAUACAUUACACCCUAGGAAUAAAAUGGUAAAAAAAAAACAGCUAAGAUAUUGCAAAUCAGUAUCCCUGAAAAUUAGGGAUUAUAUAUCCUAAAAUCUAGUAUUUAAGUCAACACAUAGCUGUAAAAUACAGCUAACAUCUACAACAAUAGUCAACACACAGCUGUAAAAUACAACUGACAUCUGCAACACUCCCCCUCAAGCUGGAGCAUAGAUAUUCUUCAUGCCUAGCUUGCAUACAAACUCUUCAAACUUGUGUCCAUGCAUUCCUUUUGUCAACAUAUCUGCAGUUUGUUGUCCUGUUAGAAUAUACACCAAACAGAUAACUCCAGUUUCCAAUUUCUCUUUAAUAAAAUGUCGGUCUACCUCCACAUGUUUUGUCCUGUCAUGAUGGACAGGAUUAUGGGCAAUAUUAAUUGCUGCCUUAUUGUCACAGUAAAGUUGCAUAGAACUAUUUUUUAUUAACUGUAGUUCUUUGAGAACACGUUCUAUCCACAUAAGCUCACAUACCGCAUGUGCUAGUGCUCGAAAUUCUGCUUCUGCACUGCUUCGUGCCACUACAGUUUGCUUCUUGCUUCUCCAAGUUACAAGGUUUCCCCACACCUUAGUACAAUAACCCGUUGUAGACUUCCUAUCCAUGAUGUUUCCAGCCCAAUCCGCAUCAACAAAAGCUUCUACAUUCCUUUUUUCUCCCUUCUCAAAAUAAAGUCCCUUUCCCGGUGUUGACUUCAGGUAUUGAAGUAUUCGGUUUACUGCCACUAAGUGAGCUUCUUUUGGGGCGUGCAUAAACUGGCUCACUAAGCUAACCGCAAAAGCAAUAUCAAGUCUAGUAUGGGAAAGAUAAAUUAAUCUCCCUACUAGCCUUUGAUAUCUCCCCCUCUCCACGGGUGCACUAUUUUCUUCAAGACCCAACUUGCUAUUUGGUUCAAUUGGUGUGGCAGCAGGUUUACAGCCAAUCAUACCAGUAUCCUUUAGCAAAUCUAGGGUGCAUUUCCGUUGUGUAACUAGAAUACCUUUAGCUGUUCUAGCUACCUCCAUUCCCAAAAAAUAACGUAGUGGUCCAAGAUCCUUGAUUUCAAACUCACCAGCUAAUUUUUCUUUUAAUCCUUCCAGCUCUUCUUUGUCAUCUCCUGUUAGUAUAAUGUCAUUAACAUACACGAUCAAAAUAGCUAACUUCCCUUCUUUAGACCGUUUGUAGAACAUAGUAUGAUCGGCUUGCCCUUAAGAAUAACCAUAGUUCUUCAAGACUUUCCAAAUCGAUCGAACCAAGCCCUAGGGGACUGUUUAAGGCCAUAGAGAGACCUUUUUAACCGACAAACUCUUCCAGCAGGUCCUUUUUCUUCAAAACCAGGCGGCAUAUCCAUGUAAACUUCCUCUUCCAAUUCUCCAUUCAAGAAUGCAUUCUUGAUAUCAAGUUGGUUGAGAGGCCAAUCUAAAUUUGCAGCAAGAGAGAGAAGGAUCCUUACAGUAUUAAGCUUUGCCACUGGAGCAAAAGUUUCUAGAUAGUCCACCCCAUAGGUUUGUGUGAAACCUUUCGCCACGAGUCUUGCUUUAUACCUGUCCACACUUCCAUCAACCUUAAAUUUGACUGUAAAUACCCACUUGCACCCCACAGUCCUCUUGUCUUUAGGUCUUGGUACAAGCUUCCAUGUGUUAUUCUUUAUUAAGGCUGCCAUUUCUUCUUAAACAGUUUUCUUCCACUCAUUUGACUCUAGGGCUUCAUGGAUGUUUCUUGGAAUAGUGGUAUUAGAUAGACUGGCCACAAAAUUCCUAUACUCCUUAGAUAGAUUUGCAUAUGACAAGAACUUGUUGAUAGGAUGUUUAGUGCAAUUUCUUACCCCUUUCCUUAUCGCAAUAGGCAAAUCUGUGGACUUCUGAGCUUCGUUCUCAGCAUAUUCAGUAGGUGGGUUUUGAUCCUCCCUUAGUUCAGAUCUCGGUUCUGCUUGGUCUAUAAGUGGCUGUACCUCUUGAGUUUUAUUCUUCUUUCGUGAAUAGACAUGAAACUCGCCUAUAGGUUCCUCCAAAUGUGAAUUGGUUUUUAUUCCUUCAUUCCUUGGUGACACUAUUGGUUGAUUAAGUUCUAUGGUGUUAGGUAGGUUAGGAUGAAUGUCUGGACUGAGGAAGGAGGUAUUUGGUAGAUUGAGUUCUAGGCUGGAAUUACUGGACAUAUUAGGUUCUAGGCUGGAACAUCUGGACAUAUUGGGUUCUAGGCUGGAACUACUGGACAUAUUGGGUUCUAGGCUGAAAUUACUAGGCAUCUUAGGUUCUAAAAUGCCAAGAAGAUCCCAGGAAUUAUCUUCUCUCAAAUUCUGCCCCUGAAGAGAAUUACUCGUGUAAAAAGGCUGAUUUCAAAGAACUUGACAUCCAUUGUGACGAAUAAUUUUUUGGUAAGAGGAUUAUAACACUUGAACCCUUUCUUGGUAGGAGAAUAUCCUAGAAAUAGGCACUUGAUGGCUCUAGGAGACAACUUUGUUCUUUGAAGACUCGGAAGAUAUACAAAGGCUGUACAACCAAAAGUUUUGAGUGCAAAAUUAGAGGUAACAAGGUGAUUUUGUGGGUAGCUGUCAAGAAAAACAAAAAUAGGUGUCUUGAAUUUAAGAACUCGAGAGGGCAUACGAUUUAUGAGAUAAGAUGCUGUAAGAAUGGCCUCUCCCCAAUAUAUUUUUGGUACAUUAGUUGUGAACAUAAUGACCCUAGCAACCUCUAAAAGGUGUCUGUUUUACGUUCUGCAACCCCAUUUUGUUGUGGUGUUUCGGAACAAGAACUUUGGUGGACAAUUCCUUGUUGUGAUAGGUAAUUCCCUAAAAUAGAAUUGAAAUACUCAGUUCCAUUAUCUGUACGGAGUACACGAUUUUCAGUUUGAAACUGAGUUUUUACCAUGACAUGGAAUUGUUUAAAAGUUUGUCCAGCUUCAGAUUUUUCCUUCAAAAGGUACACCCAAGUGGUCCUAGAGUGGUCAUCUAUGAAUGUUAUGAACCAUUUUGCUUUUGACAGGUUGUUAACCCUUGAGGGGCCCCAAAUAUCACUAUGAAUCAAAGAGAAAGGCUGGGAUGGUUUAUAAGUACGGGUAGGAAAUGAAACACGUGUUUGUUUAGCCAUUUAACAAAAGUCACAAUAUAAUAAACUCAAAUUUUGAUUUUUAAAUAAGGAAGGAAACAAGGUUUUUAGAUAUGGAAAGCUAGGGUGGCCUAACCUAUAGUGCCACAACAUUAUUUCAGAAGAAACAAAUUCACAUUGAGAGACCUGAGCAUGUCCUUUCACGAGUCUUUUAUUCUCGAGAUAGUACAGUCCCUCAUAUUCCUUUGCAUUCCUAGUCAUCCUCCCCAAGAUUGGAUCCUGAAAUAGACAUUUAGAACCACAGAAUUUAGCUACACAGUUUGUGUCUUUAGUAAGUUUACUAACUGAAAGAAGAUUGCAUUUAAGAUUUGGGACAUGUAAAACUGAAAAAGAGUCAAACAAUUUGAUAGUUUUACUGUUCCUUUUCCAGCAACAGUGGAUAAUGAUCCAUCAGCAAUCCUCACUUUAUAAUUACCUGGACAUGGAGUGUAACUAGAGAAAAAUUGAGAAGACCCUGUCAUAUGGUCUGAGGUCCCUGAAUCAACAAUCCAAGAACCUUUUUCAAGGGAUUGGAUGCUAAGGGCUGAUGGGUUACCUGUAUGGACUGCAUUACAACUAGAGGAGGUCAAGUCAUUUUUAUUUGCUUGCUGAUUUUGUAUAAGGAGCUGUUGCAGCAUCUCAAAUUGAUCUUUUGCGAGGGCAAACUGAUUAGUUUUCUCUGUCACCAUUCCCUUUGCUUCUUGCUGCCGUUUUGGUUUCCAAUCUGCUGGCUUUCCAUGAAGCCUCCAGCAUGAGUCUCGAGUAUGCCCUUUCUUGUGACAAUAGUCGCAAUAGGGACGUUCUCCAUGUUUUUGUCCCUUUUGGUUAGCUGACUGAUCUGUCUUUUUGGUCACCAGCGCUGAUCUCUCCGCCUCAGGUUCCUUCACCAGUCCCAUCAUGACUCUCUUUCGACUUUCUUCACGCCCCACCUCAACAAAAGCUUCUCGGAUGGAGGGUAGAGGAUUCUUUCCUAAUAUUCUGCCACGAACUUCAUCAAGUUCUUUGUUGAGUCCAUAAAGGAAAUCAAAGAGACGUUCUUUAUCCAACAUCCUCUUAUUUUGAUGGCAUCCUCAGAGCAAUGCCAUUGCGAUUCAUAGUAAAGGUCAAGUUCAUGCCAUAUAUUGUUUAGAGAAUUGAAAUAUUGAGUCACUGAAAGACUCCCUUGCUUUUGGUCACGUAAUUGUGACUUGAUUUCAAAGAGCUGAGCUGCAUUCCCCAGGUCAGAGUAAGUUUCUGUCACGGCUUCCCAAAGCUCCUUCGCAGAUGGUAGGAAGAGAUAAGUCCUACCAAUAUCCACGUCCAUCGAGUUGAUCAACCAAGUUUGCACCAUUGAAUUUUCAGCAUCCCACUGUGGAUAACCUGGAUCCAAGACAUCAGGGGCUUUGGUUUCCCCUGUAAUAUACCCUAAUCGGCCUUUGCCACGAAGAAAUAGGGUGACAGAUUGAGACCAUUGCAAAAAGUUUCUGCCAUUUAACUUGUGCAAAGUUAUUUGCAAAGAGGGGUUUUCGGUACCUAAGGAGACCGAAGAGAUGUCCUGCCUUGUUACAGAACUGGAGGAAAUCUCAGAUUCUUGUGUAGGGUUUGUUGUCUUCUCCAUUGGAUGGGUUGAGAGUUUAGAAUGAGAAAAAAAUUCAGAGGCUUAGUUUAAAAGAGUUGCUCUGAUACCAUGUGAAAAAUCAGACUUCUUCACUUGUAUUACAUUAGAGAAGAAUACAUAUUUAUAUACAUUACACCCUAGGAAUAAAAUGGUAAAAGAAAAAAAAGCUAAGAUAUUGCAAAUCAAUAUCCCUGAAAAUUAGGGAUUAUAUAUCCUAAAAUCUAGUAUUUAAGUCAACACAUAGCUGUAAAAUACAGCUAACAUCUACAACAAUAGUCAACACACAGCUGUAAAAUACAGCUGACAUCUGCAACAAAGAUAAUUGUGGUGAUGAUGAUGAUGUUGAUGGAGAAGAUGAAAUUGACAUGAUUGAUGAUGAAGUAACGAAGAAUUUGUAAAACACACACACACACACACACAGAGAGAGAGAGAGAGAGAGAGAGAGAGAGAGAGAGAGAGAGAGAGAGAGAGAGGAGAAGAGGAUAAAAAAAAAGAUAGAGAAAAACAGGAGAGAAAAUAAUAACAAAAACAAAAGAGGAAAAUAAUUAUUAUUGUUAUUAUUAUUAUUAACAAUAACUUUCUUAAUAACCAUAAUCAUAUAAUAGAUAAUAAAAAUAGAAGGUAAUAAUAACUAAGGGUAUUUUAAUAAUUUAAAUAAUUUAUUGUAAUUUCAAGGUAAAGUAAAUAUAUUAAUGAUAAUACAGUUUAUUUUAAUUUUGAUUCUUAUAAUUGAAGUAAAUAAUUUAUUUUAAUUUUUAUUUCACAUUUUAAUUUUAUUCUAUUCUGAAUUAGUAAACGCAUCAUAAAAUCAUGUGAUUCUACUCUAUAUGUGAGAUUGAUUUUUUUCUUUAAGGCCUACGACAUCCCAAUACAAGUCUAUAUAGGACCAAGCUACUAAGUGGACGGUCAUAAAAACUUAAAAAGGCAUAAAAUUGGAUGGCCGUCUAAUUAAUUUCCCGUGACCUACAACAAAAAUUUAAGAAGGAACUCCGAUACCAUCAAUUCUGCAUUUUAAUUUGAAGUUGGAAAACAGUGAAAACAGAAGGAUCGGGUGAUUUAAUUUUAUACAUAUUUAAUCAAGUAAAAAUGGCACGUGCGUUGUAAUUUGCCCAGUUAUCUUACUUUGAAUAAUAACAAAGUUCAAAUUUUGUAUUCAGUGAAAAAUCAAUUCUAUAGUGAAAAACACUAGCUAGAAAAAAAUCUAUGUCCUGAUGUCUUAGUUUAUAAGCUCAAACAAUGAAUAGUAUACAUACAACGCAUGAUAGAACACAAACUCAUAUAGAUUUUUAGUUUUGAAAUUCAUUUCAGAAAAUCUGUUCUGUUCAACAGGUUAUAGAUUAUCAACUAAACUCUGCCCACAUUCUUAGCUCUGCCAUUGGAAGUACGCAACUCAGCUGCCCAUCGACCGCCAAGCCAUCAAGACAAUACCAAGAUACAACAUCAAUAAUAAUAACAUCAAGAAUUACAUAGAGGCCGUCGCACGUUACACCCACUCCAACAGGAAACUAAUUAAUACCCUCCAAGCUCCUCUGUUUCAAAUCCAAAUCCACUGCUCGACCAUUUACUAUGACGUAAGGUAUAUGGAUUAAUUAACAAGUGCCGAUAUUGUCCUCCAUCCUUUUGUGUACCUUUCUUCUGGCAAGGCCUUUUCUGGAAAGUAUUUGAGCUCCAGACAAUUGCAGAAUUUCAAUUUGCUGAGGUUUUGAUGAUCAGCAAUUGAAGAAGACAGGUGUUAAUAAUUAUGAAGAACUGGUGUAAUUUAUAUCAUGUAGGAAGCCCUUCAGUUACUUUUUUGACCGUGCUCAAGCUCUUUUAAGGGCUAAUAUUAAAAUUUCGUGAUAUUGUGCCAAAAGAGCUUCGUACGUCAUUGUAAACUGUUCAUCGUUAUGUGCUGCUUCCCCAUUUAAUUACAUUUAUUUAACAUUUUAAAGAUGGAAGUAGAAAUUAAAACUCAGUUUUUCAGAUAUGGCUCAUAUACAAUGCAAGUAUCAAGAUUUAAUUAGAGUUCAAUAUACAUGCGUCUAGUUUUUAUUGAGAGAAACAAAUCAUAAAUACUCAGGUGUUUCUAAAUGAUUGAAUAACGAUAUUAUUGUUAUUUAUAAAUUUAUAAGGAUAAAUAACUAAUAGUCCACCAUAAAUACCGAAAAGGGUCCCCAGCAUAACUUGAACAACUUUACUUGUGUUUGCUCAUUGAAUAAUGUUAUAAGAAAGAAAUACAUAUGUCAGAAGAUUCAUAGUAUAUUGGAGUGUUUUUUGUACUUGAAUGAGAAUGAAUGAAGGUAUGUUAAUUUACUUUAAAUAAUUGUCUAAAAGGAAUAGAAAUGCUCUAUAACAUACCAAAUACUACCUUAAUCAAAAUUUAUUUGACAAAAAUUUUUAAAAAAUGGAAUAAUUAACCCUAAUUAAAUAAUUGUCUUAUAUCACCAAACUCUUUUUUUUUUAAUUAAGCCAUCACCAAACUCUGUAAAGCAUAAAAUAUAAUAGGCAAAUUUGAGUUAAAAAAAAAUGAAGUUAGGAAAAUGACUUGCAUAUUGUCUUUGAUGAGCGCAUAAUUUUCUUUUAAAAAAAAUGUUGAAAUGAACUCAAACUCGUUAGUGCAACUUGUCGGUUUUAAGUUGUAGAUACGAGUGACAUGUCAUUUUAGCUGAACUAGAUUCCAGAGCUCACAUUUGGGCAGUGUCAUCCAAGAACAUUAAAACUCACGUGACUAUUGCACGCAUGGUUUAAGCUGAAAUGACGUUGCUAGCAGUCGUUUAAGGAAGGCCUUUAAGUGUCACAUGAGUUGCUCGUGAUAGGAGGUUAAAAGCUGUUGGUUUUGGAGGGAAACCCCUGAAGCUGUUACGCCUGCAUCUUCUGGUAUAUAAACGAGCUGGUUCUGGUGUCAUAGUCAGUAAUCAAGGAAAGAGAGAUAAAGCAUCUGUACUGAGAGAAAAUCUUGACAGGGUGGUCUCUGUAUUGUGUAUAAUUUCUCUAUAACCUUGGAAGCUUAAUAAAACUGCUCUCUGUGUUGGUUUUCUCCAGUGGAUGUAGGCACCCUUCAACAGGUGCUGAACCACUUAAGCUCGGUGUGUUCUUUGUCUUUGGGUUAUGAUCUUUGAUCUGUGCAUUGUUCUUUGUUAACGUAAGAUUAGUUCUUGAAUCUUUGAGUCAGAGUUGGGUCUUGGGGUAAGGUUAAUCUAGUAACUAAAGGUUAAUUUCACAACAAUUGGUAUCAGAGCUCUAAACUCUGAUUUCAAGGUUCAAGAAUGGGUUCAAAAGUGGAUCUUGAGAAGUUUACGGGGCAGAAUGAUUUCAAUAUGUGGAAGAUCAAGAUGGAGGCUUUGUUGAUUACUCAAGAGCUGGGAGAAGCCAUAGAUCCAGUCACUAAGAUUGAAGAAGGUGAGGCUUCAUCAUCUAAGAUCCCAGAACAGGUAGCAGAGAUAGACAAGAAAGCCAGGAGCACAAUCAUACUAAGUCUUGGUGACUCUGUAAUUCGAGAAGUGGCCAAGGAAAGGACUGUUGCUGGUUUAUGGGCUAAGUUGGAGAACUUGUAUAUGACAAAGUCUUUGGCAAAUAGACUUUACAUUAAGAAGAAGAUGUUCUCACUGAAGAUGAUUGAAGGGGCAUCAUUAACAGAACAUGUUGAUGAAUUCAAUAAGGUUUGUGAUGAACUGGAGACUAUAGAUGAAGGGCUGAGUGAUGAGAGCAAAGCCUUGCUACUAAUCAGCUCUUUACCAAAGUCUUACGAGCACUUUGUGGAUGCACUGCUGUAUGAGAGGCAAACACUCUCCCUAGAAGAGGUUAAAUCUGCUCUUGGCACAAAGAAGCUGAAAGAUAAGCAAGAUAAUCCAGAAAGUGAAUCAAGUGAGGGAUUGAUGGCAAGAGGCAGGUCUGAGAAAAGAGAUAACAAUGAAAAAAGCAAGGCAGAUCAAAGUCUAAACAAAAGAAUUUGAAGUGUUUUCAUUGCCAUAAAGAAGGGCAUUUCAAGAGAGAUUGCCCUGAAAGAAAGAACAAGAAUAAAGAAACCAAAGAAAGAACAGGUAAUGCAGCCAUAGCCACAGAAGAAGAAUGUAACUUUGAAACAGCCGGAGUACUCAUUGCCACAAGUCAGAAACCUCAAGGUCAGUGGGUCCUUAACUCAGGUUGUACCUUUCAUAUGUGUCCAAAUAGGAGUUAUUUUACAACAUAUCAGCCAUGUGAUGGGGGUAUGGUUCUAAUGGGUAAUAACUCAAUGUGUAAGGUAGCUGGUAUUGGGACUGUUAGCCUUAGGAUGUUUGAUGGGGUGAUAAGGGAAUUGACACAAGUGAGAUUUGUCCCUGAUCUAAAAAGGAACUUAAUCUCAAUUGGCAUGCUAGAUCAAACAGGUUGUGUAAUUAAGGCUGAGAAAUGUGUAUUGAGGGUAAUUAAAGGAUCAAUGGUGAUCAUGAAAGGCAUAAAACAAAAUGGUCUAUAUGUGAUGGAUGGACAUACUGUUGUUGGGGAGGCAAGUGUGACUGACAGUAAAUGGAACAGAUCAAUGAUGUGGCAUUUAAGGAUGGGGCAUAUGAGUGAAAGAGGUUUGAGAGAGUUACAAAAACAAGGAGUGUUUGGGGAUGAUCAAAUAGGAGCUUUGGGGUUCUGUGAGGAUUGUAUUCUAGGAAAAUCCUCCAGGUUAAGGUUUGAGAUUGCAGCUCAUACCACCAAAGAGAAGCUUGAAUACAUACACUCUGAUUUGUGGGGGCCUGUACAAGUAAACUCACUAGGUGGAUGUAGAUAUUUUCUGACUUUUAUAGAUGAUUUUUCAAGGAUGGUUUGGGUCUUUGCACUCAAAAGCAAAGAUGAGGUUCUGGAAAAAUUCAAAAACUGGAAAACUUUUGUUGAGAACCAGACUGGUCUGAAGGUGAAAACUCUGAGGACAGACAAUGGCUUGGAGUAUUGCAACAAGCUGUUUGAAGAAUUCUGUGAAAAGAAUGGUAUUCAGAGGCACAAAACUGUCACCUACACCCCUUAACAGAAUGGCCUUGCUGAGAGGAUGAAUAGGACUCUGGUGGAGAAGGUGAGAUGCAUGUUAAUCUAUUCUAAGCUCCCAAAAACCCUUUGGGCAGAAGCUUUAAACACAGCAUGCUAUCUAGUCAACAGGAGCCCAUCAACUGCUAUAGAUUGUAAAACACCAAUGGAGCUUUGGUCAGGAAGAAGGGCUGACUAUACAAAACUCUGAAUCUUUGGGUGCACAACAUAUGCUCAUGUGAAGUAGGGUAAGCUGGAACCAAGGGCAUUAAAAUGCAGAUUUCUGGGGUAUCCGGAUGGGGUCAAGGGCUAUAGAUUAUAGUGUGUUGACACAAAACCACCACAGUGCAUCAUAAGCAGGGAUGUAAAAUUCCAUGAAGAAGAGCUAUUGAAUAAACCAAAGAGCUCAGAUAACAAUAUGGAAUCAAGCACUGAGACUGAUAUAGUGAAGUUUCAGGUGGAGCCUCAAAACUUGAAAGAACUUGAGCCUGAAAUUGAAGGUACUGAAGCAGAACCUGAAGCUGGUGUUGAACAUGAAUCAGCUGAAAGUGAAGAGAACACCUAUCAGUUGGCUAGAGACAGAAAGAAAAGGACAAUAAAGCCACCUAAAAGAUAUGCAGUAGUUGACUUGAUUGCAUAUGCUUUGAAUGUUGCUCAAGAGCUGAAUGAUGAUGAACCUAGGACCUAUCAAGAAGCUAUCACAGGCAAAAACAAGCUGGAAUGGAAGAGGGCAAUGGAUGAAGAGAUGACAUCCCUGAUUAAAAACAAGACCUGGACAUUGAUUGAAAAACCAGACAAGAGGAAAACAGCAAGCUGCAAAUGGAUCUUCAAAAUUAAAAAUGGUGUACCUGGAGCUGAACCUAGAAGAUUUAAAGCUAGAUUGGUGGCAAGGGGUUUUACACAGAAGGAGGGAAUUGACUUCACUGAAGUAUUUUCUCCUGUGGUGAGACAUGCUUCCAUCAGAGUUAUUCUUGCACUUGUGGCUGUGCAAGAUAUGCAUCUUGAGCAGAUGGAUGUAAAAACAACAUUUCUGCAUGGUGAGUUACAAAAAGAAAUUGUAAUGCAGCAGCCUGAAGGAUAUGUAGCAUCUGGAAAAGAAGACUAUGUUUGCUUACUUAAGAAGUCUCUGUAUGGGUUGAAGCAGUCACAUAGGCAAUGGUAUCUGAGUUUCAGAUAUUUUUGACAUGUCGGUUUAUAACCUUGAUUGUGCAUGCCCUGUCGGUUGCGUGAUGAAACAGGAGAAUAUUGACAUCUGUGUAUUAUCGUUUACUUCCUGCAAUUAAAUCACAUGUUGUUCAUUCCAUUUACACUAUACGGCACAUUUGGCAGUUGUUUUGGUCACUUAUUGAAGCACGGGUUAAGUACUUGAUUCAAGGUUGUUAACUGACCUUUACAAGGCGGGAAAAUUCUGGGUUUGUUAUAACAAACCCCGGAAUGCAGCUAGUGAGUGGGGACUUUUCUAGACUCUUCAUGAUAUGUAUAUAUAGUCUUAGAGGCUAUAGUUGAGACAUAUGAAAAGCUUCUUAAUGUUUGUAGUUUGAUCUCGGUGAUGGAGAUAAGAUUGCUGCCCUGUUCUUCAGUGGAUAUAGGCUAUCUCCAAGCCGAACCACUUAAAUUGUGCCUCUGUUUUGCUUGAUGACUACCAGUGGUGAGAAAACACCUACAGAACAAAUCAAGCUUGAUGACUCAAAUAUUAGGGAAGCCAUAGUCAAGGUAUCUGGUUUAUGCAUCAACAGUGGUUCGUGGACUAGAAUUCCUAUCUAUUGUCGCUUCACAAUUGCACUGGAAGAAAGCGAAUUUGAUCGAGCUUUGGAUCGCAUAGCUAAAUUCAAAAGCAUCGUACAAAUAGUUAACUAAAAGACGGUAUUGUCAUUUGUCAUGAUUUAUUUCUAUUGCCUGAUGAUGAUACCCAUCACGCCUUAGUUGUCGUGAAUAAAUCUAAAAUCAAAUUGAACUGGUUUUUACUGGUUAGCAACAAUUGUGACGUUUUGAGAUUAUAAUAUAUGACAACACUGAUUAGUGUUGUCUCCCAUGUGAAUUGAGACAAAAAUUAUUUUCCCAAUUGCGCUUUCAUUUGAACAAUUCCACUGUAGAUUUAUAAAAUAAUGAUCAAAUUGUGUUUUAUAUUAAGUUACGAGUAAUUGGUUAAACAUUAAUACAAAACUAUUUUAAGUAACAUGUGGCAUAUUCUAAUUCUAGCCAAGCUUCCAACUAAGAUUCCCAAAUCAAAAGAAUUUCAAUCUUCAGAACAUUCUGCAAAACGUUUAGUCUCUACGCAGUGCUAGAAUUUUCCCUAAGUUUCUAUUGCAAAGACUUCUAAAGAACUAUUCAGAUAUCGAGCUAUAAUCCAGUCUAAAGUGCAUAUAUCUCUCUAAUUCACCUCCCUCCAUUUCACCAGAAAAUCAAUAAACACUUAGCUUCAAACAAACACUCUCAAAAAGCUAGCUAGCUAUCCAGAUGGAAAAACCAAGAAUUCUUGCAAUGACAAUGUUGUUUCUUGUUAUGGCAGCAACAUUGAUAAACAUGGCAUCACAAGCAAUAGCUCUGAUGCCGUACACACAAUCACCUUUCUUUGACAUGAUGUUCCCAAUGACGGAAGAGCCUUUCAGGGUUCUUGAACAAACCCCUUUAACAAUCGCAAAAGGAGCUGAUCAUCAUCAAACUCUAGCCCUGGCGAGAGCAGACUGGAUGGAGACACCAACAGCCCACGUGAUCACGCUCGACAUUCCAGGGAUGAAGAAAGAUAAUAUGAAGAUUGAAGUUGAAGAGAACAGAGUACUGAGAGUGAGUGGGGAGAGGAAGAGUAAUGAUUAUUAUAAGGAGGGAGUUGAAGGAGAGAAAUGGCACAAAGCUGAGAGGACAUUUGGCAAGUUUUGGAGGCAGUUUAGGAUGCCAAUGAGUGUUGACUUGGAACAUGUUAAGGCUCACAUGAAAAAUGGGAUUCUGAGGGUCACAGUGCCAAAGCUUGCUGAGGAGAAGAAGAGGCAGCCUAAGGUUAUUAACAUUGAUGAAGAGUCUGGUAAUUCUUCCAAUGAAGAUAUUAAGGCUACCAAGGCUCAAAUGUAAUUAAUUAAAGAAAGAAGUGAUUGCUUUGCUUGAUGUGCUAUUUGUUUAUGAUCUUUUUUUGGUUUUGUUCCGAGAUGUUUCUAUUUGGAUGCUCUAUUUAAUGUAUGUUGAUGGGUUUUUGAGGAAGGCUUGUAUGUAUUGACAACCAUAAAAUACUUUUUAUAAAUCCUAGUCCUACAACACUAAAAGAAAACAAUACGUUUGGUUUAUAGUUAAUAAAAAUAUAUUUUUUUAAAAAAUUCUUUUUCUUUGGCAUAUAGUAUGCGUUUUGAGGGGAAAAAAAUUUAUCCCACUCCUAAUUUGUCAUCUGUGAUAUUAAUGUGUUAGCACGAAGAUUCAUUGUAAUUGCAACAAUUUUGAUGAAUCCAAACGUUCAAUAACUGUUAAAUUGUAUUUUAUAAAUACUAAUAGCGAAGGUACAGAAACGAUUAAUCCAAGAAGUUGCUUAAAGUGCAUUAAAUUAGGGAGUAUAAAUAAUUGUGUGAUACAGUCCAGCCUUUAUCUGCUUAUAAUUAGCAACCAAAAACCAUUUGCAACGCCAUUAAAAAAACAUUUUAACAUUAUUGCUGAGGGAAGAGGCAGCUUAGGCUUAUUAACUCGUAUUAUUAAUGCUGAUGACGCAGCUGGUAAUCCUUUUGGUGAAUAUAAUAAGGUAGCUGAAGCUUAUAAUUAUUUAAGCCCACUAAAGCUUAAAACUAAUUCUUCUAGUGACGAUGCUUUGCUUAGUUUGCUUUUUGUUUUUAAUUUUUUUGGGGCUAACAUUUUGCUUAUUUUGCUUUUAAAAUUCUAUUCGCGUUGCUGUGAAAUAUUGUUUGUCCUUCCAUUUUCUGUUUUUGUUGUUAUCGGAUUUGAUGAUGGUUUAUAUGUACGAAGAUUAUGUAAUAAAGUCUUUUUCUUUGGCCUUUAUUAUGCAUUUUAAUACGAAAAAAAAUUAUCCCACUCCAAUUCAUGAAGAUAUUCUCAUUUCUGUCAUAUUGAUGUGUUAAUAUAAAGAUCCAUUGCAGUUGGUGAAUUCAAAUAUUCAGUAACUGAUGAAAUUGUAUUUAUAAAUUCAUAGUAAUAGCAAUUGAAGAUUAUAAUUAAUUUUGUAAUAUGGUCAAGCCCUCGUGUGUUUAAUUAGCACUCAAAAACCACUUUACAAUAGUCAUUAAAAGAACAUUAUAACGUCAUUACUGAUGAGUUCUGGUGAAGAUAUUAAGUUAAGGCCACAAAAAUCGAAAUGUACGUGGCUUCGUUUGUUUUUUGUUUUGAUUUUUUUUGGGGGCAAAUGCUUGGCUUCGUUUUUGAUAUUUUAUUGGCUUUAUUGUGUGGCAUGUUCUUGUUUUCUUUUGAUUUUCUGUUUUUGUUUGUUAUGGGAUUUGAUGACGAUGUACAUGUACGAAGAUUAUGUAAUAAAAUGCUUUUGAUAAAUUGUGGUCGGUUUAGUAUUAAUUAACCAAAUUUAAUUUACUUGAUCAAUUGAUAUUUGUUAGUAUUGUUGUUAUACAAGCACAACAAAAGAAGAACACUAACGUACUAAUUAAUUACUAAUAAGAACAUUAACAAUUUUUGCCGAAGUCUGAUGAAGAGAAAUAUUACACAUACGUAACGGUACCGCGGAAGGAAAAAAUAAAAGAAACUGAAGUUUAUUUCAACAGCUACUCUUUCUUUACCUAAAUCCUGCACCUCUCAUACUACCAACAAGAUCGAAAACCUUAUCGAAUACUCCUACAUCCCAGACUCUGCCCAAAUCAGUGAAUCCACAUACCUCCAAUACAGUACCCCGUUGCUAAAAUAAAGCGAGCGUCUUACUCUACCUAACAUUUUUCUUUUUAUUAAUUUAAAACAGUUUUCAACUGAGAUUGGAAUUUUAAAAUUACGUACACAAACAUACCUGAUUUUAAAGAAAAAAAAUUCUAAUAAUAAAAUAUUUUACAUAUGUAACCAUACGGCGGAAGAACAAAUAUAAGAAACUGAAGUUUCAACAGCUGAGAAUGAGAUAAGCAUAAGAAAUUAAUUCAUUAAUUAAUUAAUAGAGUCCUCCUCCUUUGCUAAAUAAUGCGAGCCCAUUGUUCUUUUUAUUUCGAAAACCCAUUAAUCACCAACACAUAAUAUACGCCCAAUUUAAAAAAAAGAAACUAAUAAUAAAAUAUUUCAGUCCCUCUGUUGAGUCGUCCUCUGUGGAGUCGUCAUCAAAAACCCAUUUACUAGCUAUUUCAACAUAAGGUAAAUGGGUUAACAAGGCCCAAUAUUGUCCUCCAUCCUCUCUGCACUUCUCUUCUAUCAACGGACAAUCAUAGAUACUUAAUUUCAAAAGUGAGGAAGGCAGGCCCUUCUCCGGAAAGUAUUUGAGCUUGGGACAAUUCUUGAGAUACAAUGAAGUGAGGUUUUGAAGAUCAACAAUUGAAGAAGAUAGGCGUUCCAAAUUUGGAAAAUUGUAAAUCUCCAGAGACGUUAGAGAGGCAAGAAGAGGAAGCGCAGCCCCUAAUCUUUUGUCCUCUAGUGGAAUUGACACCAUGUCGUCAUCGCAUUCGCUGAUUUUAAAAUGUCGCAGAGAGGAGAAUCUGUGAAAUCCCCGGCCCCGCUCAAUCAUUGACUUCCAAAUCUCCAUAUUACCCCUGAUAUCAAGUGAAUGAAGGUUGGUGGGAAGGCCAUCUUCUUCAAGGCUUGGAAGCUCAACUCCUCUUCCUAUUGUUAAUUCUUGAAGAGAGGUCAGAUUGUGCAAUCCCUUGGGUAAGGCCUCUAGUCCCUUGCACCAACUGAUAUUGAACUUUAUUAGUUUCGCACAAGGCAAUCCCCCUUCGGGAAAGGACACCAGAUUUUUACAUUCCCAUAUUUCGAUCUCUUGAAGCUGGCGGAGAUUAUGUAAACCACUCGGUAAAAUCUUUAGAUUUUUACAAAAAUCAAUUCUGAUUAUUUCAAGCGAUGUGUUGUUGUCCAACCUUUCUGCUAUUGACUCCAGCUUUGAACAACUAAGAACUUCAAGGGACUUAAGAGACGGAGGUAGAUUGCCAACUUCAAGGGACUCAAGCGUGGCAGGUAACUCGUUUUUUGAAAAUAUACAUGUCAGAGAUGGACAUUCGCUAAUAUGCAAGCCCUCGAGAAGAGAUGAGGUGUACCUUCUGCUGCUGCUGCUGCUGCUACUCUGGAUGCCCUCUUCCACUGUCAAAGUCCUUAGAUUAUCACAAUUAUGGAUGUACAACAUCUUAAGGCUCGGUGGUAGCUGGACUCCAGCAAUAUAUGUCAACGAACGGCAACUCAAAAUCUCCAAGAUCUCGAGAGAUGAAUUGGUGUCGCACAUCCAUGCCUCUGGUAACAAUUUCAGUGCAUCACAAGAACUAAUAUGAAUUGUCUUCAACUUGGAAGGCAGAGCAACCUCAGGAAAGGAAACAAGGGAACUGCAUUGGUAGAUUUCUAUCUCUCUCAAGGAGCUAAGGCUGAGCGAUGAUUGUGGCAGCUUCACAAGGUCUUGGCAAUCUCUCAAUUCUAUAUAUUCGAGUCUGCAUGACAACUCGCAGAGCUGCUGUUGUUGGUCUUUCUCUUCCUCCGCCACCAAGGAUUGAAGUUUGGGACAGCUGCCAAUCGUCAAUCUUUUGAGAGAGCAAAUGUCUUGUAGUAAUCCAUCAUGACUCUUCCAUAUAUAUGUUUGCUCUUUUGUCGACAAAAUUAAUUCUUCCAAUUUCUGUAGUUGUGGUUUCAAUGGCCCCACAAGAAACACUUGAUUUGAUGCAUCUCUACAAACCACUGAAUUCUGUGAUCCGAGAUGACCAGUUGCACUUUCCCACACAACCUUUUUGCAUCCACCAAUUUCCAAUUUGCAAAGAGCUGGAAGACUCGAAACUGAAACUAACAAUUCUUCACAUCCUUCAAUAACAAGCAUCUCCAAUGCAGGAAGGUGCUCUGGAAAUGUUCCUUUCAGUUUAGAACAUUUUAAAAUGUGAAGUUCUCUCAAUUUAGGAAACCCUUCAACUCCUUGACUGGAUCCAUGAGGAAUCCAAUCUUCCCAUUCUUGCAUGUUUUCAAAAAGAAGAGUCUUCAAGCAUGGAAAUGGAAUUGGAGAAACAUUCCCAUAGAACUCUGAACCCAACCUCUUUACUCUGCUCAUUCCACAUACUACAAGAUGCUUUAAAGAGGGUAGUUGCCCGACUGACGGCAGGGCAGUACACAUGUCACAAUUUUUAAAUUUUAGGGUCACCAAAUUUGAGAAUGAGGAAUCUCCCAACCAAGUUGGAAAUUUCAUACCUCCAUAGCCUUUGAUACAAAAUUGCUCCAGAUUUGUAUGAGGUUUCAGCAUGUCAAGCAUGCCCAUUUCAGUUUCUGCCUCCCUUGAAGAAGAACCAUCGGUACUGCAAGUCCAUUUAAGCGAUAAUUCUUUCAGAUUCUUCUUUCCAUCCAUUUGAGCUACCAUGGCAUCACCAACGCAUUUUGCAUUCUCCAAUUUUGAAAUGUUAAGUGUCCCAUGAAGGUGCGUCAACAACUUUAGCUCUCGUAACCCGGAACCACUGCCUUUUCCCACAACAAAAUUACACAACGUCUGAAGACUAGUCAACCUACCAAUUCCUAGUGGCAUUUCCUCCAACGACUUCGUAUUUGAAUUCUUAAGAUGAUGCAAUUUGGCGAGGUUUCCCAUGUCUGCACACAACUUCUUCAGCCGAUCACAAUCUUCCAACAAAAGGCUAUGCAAAUUGUAAAGCUUGUUGACUGAGUCAGGCAGAGUUCUAAUCUCAGUUCCAGACAGGUUAAGGUACCUUAAAUACCUCAAAUCACCAACUGAAUCCGGUAGCUCGAAGAUGUGGUAUCCACGCAGAGAGAACGCCCUCAAGCGUUGGGGUUUGAGCAACUUAGGAAGAAUGCUAGGAGCCAAGUAGCCAGGCCCACUAUUUGUCAACAUUACUGGUAAAAAAGUUCUCAAAUGUUGGAUAUCAUACAAGUCCCCGAACCUUUGAACGCCAUCAUAAUCUCCACGAAUGUAUGAUAGGUGACGAAGAUUUCUGGAAAAACAUUGUUGCUUGUUAACCUCCGAGGUAUACUCCAGUGUGAAGUAUGUCUCCCCUGCAGCCCAACGGGCAAGGUCGUUGAUAAGAUCGUGCAUAACAAAUAGUGAUGCAUCGGUGGCCGAUUGCUGCAAAAAAGAUCUUGAACGUAGCUCCUUAAAGAAAUCACGACCUAAAUCUUCACUAGGAUUCUCAUCUUCUUUGUGAUCCAAAAAACCGGAGGCACACCAUAAUAAAAUUAUCUCCUCCUCUUCAAAUUCAUAAUCCUUUGGAAACAAUGAGCAGUAUGCAAAGCAUUGUUUCAAAGUUGGAGGAAGAUAAUAAUAGCUCACUGCAAGGGCUGGUAUAAUGCCACACCUCUUUUCUGAUAAUUCCCAUAUCUUGCUACAGAGCACAC
This 75842-nucleotide long non-coding RNA is filed under the name Citrus x clementina. RNAcentral's name for it is "Citrus clementina (C. clementina) long non-coding RNA (CCLE_LNC002249)". The record is from RNAcentral. Lineage: Eukaryota; Viridiplantae; Streptophyta; Magnoliopsida; Sapindales; Rutaceae.